RNAcentral lists this long non-coding RNA (48422 nucleotides) under Capsicum annuum. RNAcentral's name for it is "long non-coding RNA (CANN_LNC012940)". The record is from RNAcentral. Lineage: Eukaryota; Viridiplantae; Streptophyta; Magnoliopsida; Solanales; Solanaceae.
AUUCUAAAAGUGUGUUGGUACCCGAAGCCAUCUCAGUACAACCUUUCAUCCUCAGACAGAUGGUCAAGUAGAAAGGAUUAUUUAGAUAUUUGAAGAUAUAUUGCGAGCGUAUGCAAUUGAUUUCAAGGGAAGUUGGGAUGACCACUUGCCUUUGAUUGAGUUUUCAUACAACAAUAACUAUCAUUCUAGUAUUUAGAUGGCUCUAUUUGAAGCUCUAUAUGGUAGUAAAUGUAGAUCCCCAAUCGGUUGGUUCAAAGUUAGUGAGGACUCAAUCAUAGAGCCUGAAUUAGUAUUCGAUACCUUAGAAAAGGUUUAGUUGAUCAAAGAGAGACUUUGGGCUGCUCAGAGCCGAUAAAUAUCUUAUGCAGAUGUAUGCAAAAAGGACCUUAAGUUCGAGGUUGAUAACUAUGUAUAUCUAAAGAUCUCUUCUAUGAAGGGAGUGAAGAGAUUUGGCAAGAAGGGAAAGCUCAGUUCCCGAUAUGUCAAUCACUUUAAUAUUCUCAGUCGCUUCGAUAAAGUAGCUUAUGAUCUCGAGUUGCCUUCAGAUCUAGCCUCAGUUGAUCCAGUAUUCCAUUUCUCUUUUCUCAAGAAAGGCAUAGGUGACCCAGCAGUUGUAGUCCCUAUUCAAAGCAUAGAUGUUUAGAAUAGCCUCUCCUAUAAGGAAAUUCCAAUCGGAAUCCUAGACAAUCAGAUUCGUAGACCAAGGAACAAAGAAGUCUCUCCAAUCAAAUUUCUAUAGCAAAAUCAGUCUGUUGAGGGAGCUACUUAGGGAGCAGAAGCAGACAUGUGAACCAAGUAUCCUCACCUCUUCUCCACUAACUUAGACUCAGCUUAAGGUAAUAGUUCUCCUUAAGCUUAUUCAUUUUUAUGUUCAGAAUUUCAGUUACAAAUUCGGUAUUUAGUUCAUGCUCAAAUCCCCAUUAUAAACCUGGUACCAUGUACCAUUGCAUAUUUGUUCAUGCAUUCAUGUAUCAGUUAAAUCAUAUAAUCAUUCAUCAGAUAUGCAUUCUCAUUAUGAUAAACUUAGUUCAUCAGAACACUCAGUCAUACAUUCAUGAAUCAGUUACUCAUGCAACAGAUAUGCAUUUUCAUCAUGAUAUAUUUAGUUUAUAAGUCGUGUUAGUCAUUAAAUCAUGUUUCAGUAGUGUACGUUUGGUACAUACUUUAGUUGUUUGUCGCUUCUCUUUCAUUCAGUCUUAUUCGAGGAUGAAUGUUCCCAAGGGGGAGAUACUGUAAUACCCCAUAUUUCAACCUAGCUUAAAUAUAUCCCAAAAAUAUCCAAGACUUGAAUUAAAGAUGGAUACACUAUUAUUCAUGUGUAGUUUUCAAGAUUUUGACUUUUAGUUGUGUGGAAAAUCAAAUAAGCUUUCUAUCAAUACCAAAUUUACCUAAAUUCGAUAACCGGGUAAGAAGUUAUGGCUAUUUUAAGUCCUAGUCAUGAAAUAAAGUCAUUCCAGUUAGUGGUGCGCCGCACCACACGUGAAAAUGGCAAUAGUCAAUUUCCAGCGUACCAACACGAUCCCACCGUGUUGCGUUGCACUUCCAGUUCACAACCAAGGUGGCAACAUAAUUUCCACCGCAUCGUGCUACCAACCAGUUUCCCAAUUGUCCAAUUUCCAGUGGCUUGGCGCGAUAUUGGUGCGUCACGCCAAGGCCAAAAAUCAGGCUUUUCAGUUUUCAACUUUCAUUUUUAAAUUCGUUCAAGGGUAUUUUGGUAUUUUUUUUCCCAUGGCCCUAGGUAACCUAAAACACAAAAAUUUAACCCCUAAAUACCUUAAUUAGUCAUCAUUAUUUCAAUUCCUCUUACAACAAAAAAAAAUCCCCUUUUCAAGAAAUAAGAAACCCGAAUCUCUCCAAUAGUCUUCAAGAACUUAAAGAAUCUAGAUUUUCAGCUAUGUUAAGUUUUGAUUCAUGGGUCCCUUUCACCCAUGAAUCUCAAAAAUCCAUUUUCAAUUCAAAGAGUAUGAAUCUAUGAAUGUUUAUGAUUUAUUUGAAUUGAAAUUUUGAUCCAUGUUAUAGACUAUUAAUUUCAAAAAUUGAUUCUAGUAUGUGAUGAUUUACGUGGUAUAUUUGAUGAACCCUUCAAUUUGUAAGUUGAAUUAUAUAGCCAUGAUAAUUUGAUGUAUUGAUUAUUGCAUAACCAAGGCAUGCUCCCCAUGUGUUUGAUAAAAUACCUAUAUAAAGAAAAUAGUGCCUUCAUAGCAUGUUAUAUGAAAUCUCCAUUCAUGUAUAAGUUAAUGCAUGUAAGGUAUUUGAUGAGAUUUCUUAGUCAAUGAAUUAUAGAUAUAUAACCAUUGGUGUACUUUAAAGCUAGCGCCAUAAUUUACUUUUAUGCUAUCAAGUCCUGGGGGUAUUAAAUACCCAAAAAUUUAGAUAUAUGCCUAGAGCCAGUAUCAUGUUUUCAAGGUACACUUAGUCAAGCCAUGUUUAGUAGAAUUCAGUUAGUCUCAGGACUCAAGAAAACUCUCAGUAAUCUUAGUAAUCUCAGCAGUAAUCCAUUAGCCAAUGGAACUUAGUAAACUCAGUCCCAUUCAAUUCAGCUAAUCAUGUCAGUGUCUAUUCAGAUGGGAGUAGGAUUCAGCACCGAGUAAAUCCAUGAAUAGAAAGUCACCUACCAGUAGAGGGUGUGAUCCUUAGGAGUAAUCCUUGUAUUCUAGAACUAUGUAGCCAGUAUAGAUUGAGAAUUAACACCGACAGAUGUGGGUUGAUGAGGUGGAUUAAAACUGUCAGAGGAGGGUCCCACCAUUCUUUUUUGGGGGCACUUUCAGAUGAGGGUCACCCAUAAUUUGUCCUUACCAAUGGCGUGGUAUUGAAUCCCUUCCAAUUAGGGUUACAAAUUUGACCCCAACUCAGCUAAAAUAGCUUAUCAGGGGCAUGUCGAUUAGAUGAAUACUUCCCAUAGUCUCAGUCUCAUCCUCAGUAAUAGAACUCAGAUAGUUCUAUAGAAUUUAGGACUGUCAAAUAUAGUCACUCAAUACAAUAUGAAACUCGGCUAGCUCCCUCAGACUCUAGACUGUCAUAUAUAGUCACUCUGUAUCAGUUAUAUCAGUUACCAGUAACUCAUGUUAUCAGUAUUUAGACUCGGUAGUUUGUAUUAUCUUGAACUCAGUUACAGUUACUUAUUUAUGCAUGUGUUCUCAGGUUUAUGUUAUACAGUCAGUUAGUAUUGUUCAUGUAUAUGAAUCCCAUAUAUUCAGCCUACCUUACUUGCAUACCAGUACAUUCAGACGUACUGAUACAUUCACGGUAUAGUGUUCUUAUACCAUAGGUUUAGAAGCAUGAGUCCCACCUCUAGAGCAGCAGUAGCAUUCCAAUUUCAGUACUCAGAGUCAGUGGUAAGUCCUCAUCAUUUAAGGACAUAAUUAUUAUUUCAUUGCUUUAUUAUUUCAGUAGAUGGAGUUAGUUGGGGACAUGUCCCAUCAAUUUCUUAUUUAGACAGUUCACUUUUAGAGGCUUUCAGACUAUAGCAUGGUUAGAUAGUAGUUCAGUUUGUUUUGGUUCAGACAUUGUUAUUAGACAUUAUGAUUCAAUUUUGAACCUUAAGGUCUUUCAGCCUUUAUUUCUGUAUUUAUAUAGUAUAUUAUGCAGUGUUCAGGUACAUAUAUCAGUCAUGGGUUAUCUUAUGAUCCUCCGGAGUCAUAGGAACCGUGUAGCAUUUUGAAUACCAGAUUUGGGGUGUUACAAUAGUGAGAUAGUGAGCUUCAAACAGAAGCCUAAUAAAAACUUUUAUCAUGCUUAGGAAUGCUUCAAGGCUCUUCUUCGAGAAUGUACACACCACCAACAUUCAAAUAAGGUACUUUCUCAUUAUUUGUAGAAGCUCUUGAUCAUAAUACAAAUAUUUUUCUAGAUUCAGCUGCAGGUGGUCAAGUAUGGAAUUGACUUAUGAUGAGCUGUACAUAUGAACCGUAUAGCAUAAGGAAAUACAGAAUGACAUGCAGAUUCUAUAAGUGGCAAGAAAAAAAUUAUGGGUGUAUUGGAGGUAGACUAAUUCACAGUCUUAUUAGCAUAGGUUUUGGCAUUACAAAAUUUGAAACACCUCAUUCAACACCAUGAAGUUGGGAACAACACAACCUACAGCCACAGUCAAUGUUGUCCAACAAGCUACAAGUUGGUGUGAGUUAUGCAAAAACAGUGGCCAUACAACUGCUAUGUGUACAACAAAUCCAUAAUCGGUGAUGUUAGUAAGGCAUUCUUAAAGAUAGAACUAUAGAAAUGCUUAAAACUAGCAGACUCAGCCAUAAAAUCAACCAUGAAAUUCUCCACAGCCAUAGGCCCAAUCAAAUUAGUAAAUGAGCAACAUGGAAGAGAUAUUGAAACAACUCUUAGCUGGCCAAUCAUAAGUGGUUGUGGAUAUGAAAAGUCAAAAGGCAGAUUCACAGAAUCAAAAAAUAGCUACAAGAAGUUUAGAGUUGCAAGUAGGCCAAUUAUCAUAGGUACUGAAUACACGACAACAAGGUGGUUUUCCAGCAGAUAUAGAAAAUCCAAAGCAGGUUAUGACAAUCACCUUGAUAAAUUAUAAGAAGCUUCAUGGAGAACCUCCUAAGGCAACAAAUGACGUAGAUGCUAAUGUGGUAACCCAAAAUGUAGAUGACAAAAUUGCUGAAAAUUCAGGAAAGUUUGAGUACUUAAAUGGAAAAUUUGUUGAACAAAAAGUGAAGAGGACCCCACCUUUGCCCUUCUCUCAAAAGAACAUAAAAGCAAAGAAGGAUGCCAUGUUUAAGAAGUUCUUUGAUAAAUUUAGAGAGCUUCACAUUGACUUACUUUUGCUAGAUAUUUUACAAAGUAUGCCUAAGUACGCAAACUACUUGAGGGAUGUGGUGGCUAAGAAGGUAAAAUUUAAAGAUGUGGGAGCUAUAUCACCCAUGAAAGAGUGUAGUGUUAUGAUGUCACAGAAAAUCCCUAAGAAAUUAAAACAUAAGGGGAAGUUUUCUAUUCCCAUACAAAUUGUGGGAAAAGAGGUUCAUGCACUAAGUGACUUAGGGGAAAGCGUAAAUUUGAUGACUCUAUAAUUGUUCAAAAAAUUUGGCUUGGCAGAGCCUAGAGCAACAUAAGUGGUUAUGCAUCUUGCAGAUGGAUCCAUAACAUAUUCACAUGGAAUUAUUGAGGAUGUCCUCAUAAAGGUUGGAAAAUUUAUUAUUCCUACUGAUUUUCUUGUUCUUGAUUUUAUGGCAGAUGAACAGGUUACAAUUAUCUUGGGGCGUCCAUUCUUAGAGACCGAAGGGGCUUUGAUUGAUGUUAGAGAAGCACACUCAAGAUGAGGGUAGAUUAUAAAUAGAUGGUAUUUAUAUUUAUAAGGAUCCAUUGAAAAUCCCUUUUAUAAAGAUUUAUGCAUGAUCAAUGUGUUUGAAAAGAAUGAGUGUGGGGGUGUCUAAGCCUCUAAAGACCUCUUCAGACUACCUAAUUGAGUGGCCUAAGAUAAAACCACCAAUUCCCAACAUGUUAAAAGGUCAAAAGAGGUUUGAAAUGAAUAAAAAAUGGCUCCCCACAGGGGGUAAAGGGUGAAGGUACAUGGUUGAGUUAAAUUGGGUCGCGCCGCAACACUUAAUUCGGUGUUGCUUGGGAGGCAACCCAAGUUAAAGCAAGGUAUGUUUUGUUUUUAGUUUCUAGUUUUUUAUUUCAUGUAGUUGUUGUUUUUGGUUGAGUCCUAGUUUAAUGGAAAGUUUGAGUACCAUAAACUUGAGCUAAAGAGCAUGGCGAAGACUGAGUAUGGGGUCCUAUGGAUCUCACUCAUGUGAAGAUGCUACUAGCUAGGCCUAGAGGCCUCAGGGAGUAUUUCUAUCUCUUAUUUUAAAAAUUCACUUUGGGGAUAAAGUAGAUUUUUACGUGUGGGCUGGGGAAAUUCCCAAUUUGAAUUUUUGACACAAAUUAAAAAAUUUAAUGUGAGGGAUAAGUGAGAUAUUUUGGUUGGUGUUAUUCUUGAUUACAUGGUACAAGUGGGUUUGUUUGUAAAAGUAUAUUGAUUGGUGUGAAUUGCUAUUUUUGAGACUCUUAGGCUCAAGUUUUUGACUCUAGUACUUGUUGGCUUAAUUAUGAAUUUGUGAUAUUAUUUGGUUGGGAGUCUAUGAUGAUCCUAUUUAUUUGAGCAUAUGCCAUGUGCAUGUGAGAAUUUUUGUGUAUUCCUUGUUGCAUGUGAUGUCUAGAACUUACCCGGUGUGUGUGUGAAGUGAAAUAAAAAGUAUGGGUUUAGGAGUUGAUAUAGGCAUUUCUUUGAUAGCCUUAUUUUAUACCUUCUUUUACCUACCUUUAUGCAUUAUCUUAUUUAUCCCCUAUUGAGCCUUUAGCUUUUUUUUGGCAACCUCAUAAGUAGACUAAUCCCUUCUUUGAUCCAAAAAACUCCUAAGUGCUUUAAUAAAAAAUUGAAUUGGUAAGGAGUUUGAGAACUUGAAGAAGAAAAAGGUGAAAUUGAUGCCCUAAGGUAAUAGCUAUUGGUGUAUAAUUGAUGUGUGGUGGAUGAUUAUGAUAUAAUUUAUGCCAAGAUUGUGAAAAAAAGAUAAAAAAAAAAUUGAUUCUUGUUGUAGUAAACUAUGUGCCCCCCACUAUGUGUUUGCAAAGAUGCUUAAAAGAGAUGGGGUAAAAAAAAAAGGUAUAGGUGAAUGAAAACGUGUAAUUUGGUUAUUGGAUAGUAGUUUUGAACAUUUAAUGUGAUGUAUUAAAAUGCUUAGAAAGGUUAGUCACUAUUCCCAAAUAUUUCCUACCCGUCCUUUAGCCUACAUUAUAACCCGGAAAAGACCUACUUGAUCCUAAGCUUUACAUUCGACUAUUAGUGGAGCAUUACACUAAGGGAAAGCCUAUGGUUCAUUGUGUGUAACAUGUGAAUUCUUUGUGAGAAAGAGUNNNNNNNNNNNNNNNNNNNNNNNNNNNNCAUUAUUGUGAGUGAUUAUGGGUAACUCUCUUGUUGUGAGGGGAAUAUAUUUGAUGAAUGUGGCUGAUUUUUAUGAUGUCUUUGAUUAAGCAAUAAGCAUGAGUUUUCCACUAGGUGAGUCAUAUCUUGAGGCUAGGAUGUUUUGGAGUAGUGUUCAUAAGCUUUCAAUUGUGUAAAUAACAUGCUUAGUGUAGUAACAUGAAUUCCAUGUAGUCAUUUUAGUACUAGCUUGAGUGUCUUGCAUUUAUUUGAAGAUUAGAUUCUCCAUACUUGAUGAUGAUUGUACUCAAGAGUUGUUUGAGAACGAACAAGGUUUUAAGUUUGGGGUGGUGAUGUUGGCUGAAUUUAUGCAUUCUAGCGUUCCUAUUCUAGCCUUUUUAGCUAUGUUUGAAGGACGAUUCUAAUAUAUAAUGUUUAAUAAUGAGAUAAAUAUGUUAAAAUGUGUGUUUAUAUGGUUCAAGGUGAAUUCCAAGCAAGCUUGUACCAAAAAGAGUCAACUAGAGUUCAAUAGAGAAAAUUAAUCUUUCUAGCGUAAGCUAGUUGCUUGUCUAGCCUAUCUUGUUGGAUUCUACUUUGUUCUAUGUGUUACUUAUGGUUUUAAAUGUGUUAUUGUAUUUGUAACAAGUUUUAAUGAGUGUAUUAAUUGCGCAUGAUUCAAGGAAAGAGUUGAAACUUGAAGUGGAAGAUCAUGGGAACCAAUGUAGUCUAAGCUCUUGUUUUUUAUUCAUUGUAAUGGAUAUAGUGUUGUUUGUGCUUAUAAUUCGUGUGGUGUUUACUUGUAAGACAUUUUGUGAGCUUAAUAUGAUGAUCAAUGGAUGAUACAAAGGCUGGAAAAUCAUUAUAAAGACAACACAAUACAAGGGAUGGAAGGAGAAAGCACCAACACUUAACAAAAAUUUGGAGGACAAAUUCCAGUGAAGAGCUGUGAUAAGCAUGCGGGGCAUGCUCCAUUCCAUAGAAAUUGAGGGUUCGGCACAUGAUCCAUUCCAUUGUAAUAGAGGGUAUGAUUCAUGCACCACUCCACUCCUGGGCAUUUUAUGUUAAUUCGACUCCUAGACGGACUUGGCUUACCCUUAUGCUAUAUAUACAUAUUGUAUCACGUUUUUACAUAUCUUUGGAUGUAUUUUGGAGGUCAAGUGGUUGAUACAACUUCAUAAUUAGGUUUUUAUUGUUUUCAUUUAGUUCAUUCAUAUUUGUAGUCAUUAAUUACAACAUUGUGAUUACAAUUAUGACUAUGUGUGGUUAAAUGCCCUCUUUUUGGGGUUGAAGCCAAGAACAUUAGUUUUGAAUUGAGUUCAUUUGAUUUUCUUAUCACUGUUGGUUGUUUGCUUAUUCUUAUUAUAACUAUUUUGAGGAUUUUUGAAACUUAAAAUACAUUUAUUAUCAACCUUGUGAACUCAGGAGAUGGAAUAGGGAGAUAAAACAUAUUAAUAAACAGAGUAUGGUUUGUAUUUCUUUAUGAAACGAGGAAUUCAAAUUAGUGUCUAGGACAGGGUUGUACUUAGAUAUCAUAAUUGAUUCAUAUGUAGGAUGAUAUUUGUAAAGAAAUUAAGUGAACUAUUACAUCCCCGAUCAACGAUGUAUGUGUAAGUUUCAACUUAGGUAAACGAUUAGAGAUUGGGAAACCGUAAUCAUGCAAUAAACCCUAUGAAUCAACAACCAAGAUAAGCAAGUUGACGAAUGAAGUUCAAUAACAUAACAUUAUUGUUCGAAGUGAUUCAACCCUGGUUUUUCUCCAAUUGAUUGUCUUAAGACCUUUACUUUACGCUUUGUUUUUUUUUUACUUGCAAUUAUAAAUUCCAAACACUCUUUUUAGUUACUCUUGCAUCAAGUGAAUCUAAAUUGUGAACUAAAAUUGAAUCUUUGCCAAAUCAAGUCUCUUUGGAAUUGAUAUUCAUCUUUAUUGAAGGCCACUAUAUUACUUGGUAAACCACACACACUUUUGUGUGCGCUGACCAAGUUUUUAGCGCCGCUGCUGGGGACUUGUUAUUUGGCAACUAUUUAUUUUAAUUUUAUUUCUAAAUUUAUUUGGUGUUUUUACGCAUGAUCUUGUUUUUGCAGGAAAUAGGUUCUUAAAUUUAUAAGAUGGAAAGCGAUCGGGAGUUGGUAGAAUAAAAAUCAAAACCCAAACAACUUUACCAUCAGUGAAGAAGAGAAGCAAUCCUUCUCCCUAGAAUUCCGCAAAUCCAAGGAUACCAAGAGAUUCCUUUUCCAAUGGCUGAACAACAAGUAGCCAGAAGGAUAGUUAAGGAAGUAGCAGUCCCACUUCCGAUGAACUUGUCUUCCCCAAUUCAAAGAUCGGCAUCUGGGGAAUUUUGAAUUGAAACACAAUAUGGUGCAGCUUCUUAUCAGCAGUGGAUAGUUUGUAGUUCUUUCAUACGAGGAUCCACAAGUCCACUUGCAUACCUUCAUUGAGUUUACUGAUACAUUCACUUCAACUGGGGUGGCUCCAGAUUAUGUGAAGCUAACACUAUUUCCCCAUUGCCUUUUAGGGGAAGAAAAGAGGUGGUUGAAUGCGUACUCGGCUAAUUCAAUCACAACAUGGGAUAACUUAUCCAAAAAGUUACUCAUCAGGUUCUUUCCAUCAGGAAAGACUAUGAGAAUUCACAGUGAGAUAGUGAGCUUCAAACAGAAUCCUGAUGAAAGCCUUUAUCAUGCUUGGGAAUGCUUCAAGGCUCUUUUUUGAGAAUUUCCACACCACCAAUAGUUUAAUGAGGUACUUGCUCAUACUUUUGUAGAAGCUCUUUAUCACAAUAUAAAGAUUUUGCUAGAUACAACCGCAGGUGGUCAAGCAUUGGAAUUGACUUAUGAUGAGUUGUACACAUUGAUGAACUGUAUAGAACAAGGAAAUCCAAAGUGAUAUUCAGAUUCUAGAAGUGCCAUGAAAAGAAUUACAGGUGUAUUAGAGGUGGAAAAAUUCACACCCUUACCAGCACAGCUUUUGGCAUUACAGAAUUUGAUCAAUACCUCAUUCAACAGCAUAAAGUUGGGAACAGUAUAACCUGGAGCCACAGUCAAUGCCAUUCAAUAAGCUGAAGGUUGGUAUGAGAUUUACAGAAAUAAUGGCCAUACAUCUACCAUAUGUGUAGCAAAUACGUAAUCGGUGAUGUUUGUAAGCUAUGCUAAAAAAUAGAACUAUGGAAAUGCUUAGAAGUGGCAGACUCAGCUACAAAAUUAUCCAUGGAACUCCCCACAACCACAUGCCCAAUAAAAUCCAUGAAUAAGAAACAUGGAAGAAAUGUUGAAAAAACUUUUAUCUAGUCAAGCACAAUUGGUUACAGAUAUGAAAAGUCAAAAGGCAGAUUAUCAGAAUCAGCAAACAAACACAAGAAGUUUAGGGUUUCAAGUGGUCCUAUUAUCACAGGUAUUGAAUACAAGACAACAAGGUGGUUUGCCAGUAGAUACAGAAAAUCUAAAGUAGGUUAUUGCAAUCACCUUGAGAAGUGGUAAGGAGCUUCAUGGAGAACCUCCUAAGGCAACAAAGGAGGUAGAUACUAAUGCGGUGACCCAAAAGGUAGAUGAAAAGUUUGCUUAAAAUUCAAGGAAGUCUGAGUACUUGAAUGAAAAAGUUGCUGAACCAAAAGUGAAGAAGACCCCACCUCUUCCCUUUUCUCAUAAGCACAUAAAGUGAAGGAGGACGCCAUGUUUAAGAAGUUCUUUGAUACAUUCAGAGAGCUUCACUUUAACUUACCUUUGCUAGAUAUUUUGCAAAGUAUGCCUAAGUACUCAAACUACUUGAGGAAUGUGGUGUCUAAGAAGGUGAAACUGCAAGAUGUGGAAGAUAUAACACUCAUUAAAGGGUGUAGUACUGUAAUGCCAUAGAAGAUCCCCAAGAAAUUUAAACAUCAGAGAAAGUUUACUAUUCCCAUACAAAUGGGAGGAAAAGAGGUUCAUGCACUAAGUGACUUAGGGGCAAGCGUAAAUUUGAUACCUCUAUCAUUGUUCAGAAAAUUGGACUUAGGAGAGCCUAAAGGUGCAUGAGUAGUUAUGCAGUUCCCAGAUGGAUCCAUAGCAUAUCCGAAUGGAAUUAUUGAGGAUGUCCUCAUAAAGGUUGGUAAAUUUGUUAUUCCUACUAAUUUUUUUGCUCUUGAUUUUGUGGCAGAUGAACAGGUACAUUUUAUUAGGGUUCUAAUUUUUAGUGACCAUAGGGUCUUUGAUUGAUGUUAGAGAAGACACACUCAAGAUGAGGGUAGAUGAUGAAGAGUUGGUAUUUGUUAUUUACAAGGCCCCCAUUGAAAAUCCCUUAUAUAAAGAUUUAUGCAUGAACAAUAUUUUUGAAAGGGAUGACCCGAUCGAUUUGUAGCCCAUAAUACGCUUGGACCCCGGGUCCACCCCUGGAAUCGUGGGCUAUAACACAUCGAUUUGGCCCAAAAGUGCCCUGUACGCACCAUUUCUCUUGUUUAUCCACCCAAAUAGCCAUGAAUAUUGAAACGGACAAAACUAGGAUGAUCCCUAACCUCACUGGCAUUUCCCAGUUAAUUUUUGACCCACAACAUGCCCAAACUUUGAGCCCACUCCCAGAAUCGUGGCCUUAGCACACUGAUUUGGCCUAAAAAUGCUCCGUUCACGCCAUUUUGCCCGUUUGUCCACCCAAAUGCCAUGAAUAUUGAAACAAUCCACACUGGAUGAUCCCCAACCUCAUUGGCAUGCCCCGUUCCAUUUUUGGUCCACAAAAUGCCCUGAUCCUAGGACCACCCCUAGAAACGUGGGCUAUAGCACAUUGAAUUGGCCUUAAAAUGCCCUAUUCGCGCUAUUUUGUCGAUUUAUCCACCCAAAUGGCCACGAAUAUUUACACUGACUACACUGGUAUGAUGUCCAACCCCCUGGCACACCCUAAUCAAUUUUUUACCCACAACAACCUCGGAUCCUAGGCCCACCCUAAAACUGUGGGCCAUAGCAUAUCGAUUUGGCCGAAAAAUGCCCUGUUCGCUCUGUUUUUCCCAUUUGUUCUCAAAAAUUGCCAUGAAUUUUGAAAUAAACCAUAUUGGAAUGAUCCCAAACCUCCGUGUCAUGCCCCAAUUUAUUUUUGUCCCAUAUCACGCCCAGACCCAAGGCCCACCCUUGGAACUAUGGGCUAUAGCAUACCGAUUUGGCCCGAAAACAACCCGUUCACGUUGUUUCACCUAUUUUCCACCCAAAUAUCCAUUAAUAUUAAAACGAACCACACUGAGAUGAUACCCAACCUUCUGAAAUGCUCCAGUAAAUUUUUGGCCCACAGUAUCCCUGGACCACAGGCUCACCCCCGGAACCAUGGGUUAUAGCACACUGAUUUUGCUCGUAAAUAACCCGUUUGCACCAUUUUGCUUGUUUAUCUAGCCAAUGGUAAUGGAUAUUGAAAGGUCCAUACUGGGAUGAUCCCCAACCUCCUAGGCAUUCCCCUAUUGAUUUUCGUCCCACAGCAUGUCCAAACCCUGGGCCCACCCCUGAAAUCAUAGGCUAUAGCACACCAAUUUGGUCUGAAAAUGCCUCGUUCAUGCUAUUUUGCUUGUUUAUCCAUUAAAAUGGCCACAAAUAUUGAAAUGGACCACACUAUAAUGAUACUAAUCUCCUAGUAUACCCAAAUCAAUUUUUUUUCCACAACAUGCUCGGAUCCUAAGUCCACCUCCGAAAUCGUGGGCUAUAGCACAUUGAUUUGGCCUUAAAAUAUGCCGUUUGCGCUGUUUCACCUAUUUUUCACUCCAAAUGGCCACAAAUAUUGAAAUAGACCAUAAUGUGAUGAUCUAUAACCUCCCUAUAAUGCAUCAAUCAAUUUUUAUCCCAUAACACGCCCGAACCUCGAUCCCAGCCCAGAACCGUGUGCUAUAGCACACCAAUUUGGCCAGAAAUGUCCUGUUCUCGCUGUUUUACCCAUUUGUAUACCCAAAUCGCUAAUAAUAUUUAAAUGGACCAUGCUAUGAUGAUCCAUAACCUCUUUGGCAUGCCCCGAUAAGGUUUUGGCCUGCAGCAUGCCCAGUGUCCUUCCCUAAAAUCCUGGGCAAUAACAUACCGAUUUGCCCUGAAAAUGUUUCGUUCGUGCCAUUUUGCUCGUUUAUUCACCCAAAUAUCCAUGAAUAUUUACACAGACAACCCUGGAUGAUCCUCAACAUACCUAGAAUACCUCAUUCAUAUUUUGGCCCUCACUAGGCUCGUGCCCCAAGCACACCCCCAAAAUCGUGGGCUAUAGCACACUGAUUUUUCUUGAAAAUACCCCAUUCGUGCUGUUUUGCCCAUUUGACAUUCCAAAUGGACACCAAUAUUAGAAUAGCACAAAUUGGGAUGAUCCCUAACCUCCCUAGCAUGCCUCAAUCAGUUUUUAACACCCAUCACACUCAUACCCUAGGCCCAACCCUGGAACUGUGGGCUAUAUAGCAUACCGAUUUGGCUUGAAAAAUCCUCAUUCAUGUUGUUUUGCCCGUUUGUCCACCCAAUGGCCACAAAUAUUAAAUUAGACCAUAUUGGGAUAAUCUCAAACCUCCCUAGCAUGUAUCAAUUAAUUUUUCACCCACAUCACGCUCGAACUCAGGGCCCACCCAUGGAACUAUGGGCUAUAGCACACCAAUUUAGCCUAAAAUGCCCUGUUUGCACUGUUUCACUCGUUUGUCAACCCAAAUGGCCAUGAAUAUUGAAUGAGACCACUCUAGGAUGAUCCCAAACCUCCCUGGUAUGCCUCAAUCAAUUUUUGGCAUAUAGCAUGACUGGACCCCAGGCCCACCCCGAGAACCGUGGGCUAGCACACUGAUUUAGCUCGAAAAUACCCCGCCAGCACUAGUUCUCUCAUUUGUACACCCAAAUGGCCAUUAAUAGUUAAAGGUACCACACUGGGACGAUACCCAAACUCUCUGGUAUGCCCCAAUAGAUUUUUUUCCAUAGCACACCCGGACCCUAGGGCUACCCCCGAAAUCGUAGGAUACAGCACACCAAUUUGGCCAAAAAAUGCCCCGUUCGUGCUGUUCCACCUGUUUGUCCACACAAAUGGACACAAAUAUUGAAAUAGACCACAAUAGGAGGAUCCCAAACCUCCCUGGCAUGCCUCGAUCAAUUUUUGACCCACAGCAUGCCCCGACCUUGGGCCCACCCUUGGAACCGUGGGCUAUAUCACAUUGGUUGGCCUAAAAAUGCCCCGUUCACUCCAUUUCGCCUGUUUGACCACCCAAAUGGAAAUGAAUAUUGAAACGAACCAAAAUGAUAUGAUAUCCAACCUCCUUGGCAUGCCCCGUUAAAUUUUUGACUGAAAGUAUGCUUGGACCUCGGUCCCAUCCCCAGAACUGUUGGCCAUAACACAUCGAUCUUGCCUGAAAAUGCUCCGUUCGCGUUGUUUUACUUGUUUCUCCACACAAAUGGCCAUGAAUAUUGAAAUAGACCACACUAGGAUGAUCCCCAACCUCCCUGACAUGCGUCGGUCUAUUUUUAGUGUACAAAACACCUGGAACCCAGGCCCACCCCAAAACUGUGGGCUAUAGCACACCGAUUUAGCCUAAAAAUGCCCGGUUCAUGCCGUUUUGCCCGUUUGUCCACCCAAAAUGGCCAUGAAUAUUGAAAAAAACCACAAUAGUAUGAUACCCAACCUCCCUAGAAUACCUAAUCAUUUUUUUUACCCACAACACGCUCGGACCCCGGGCCCACCCCCAGAACUGUGGGCUAUAAGACAUUAAUUUGGCUGGAAAAUGCCACGUUCACGUCGUUUCGCCUAUUUAUCCACCAAAAUUGCCAAGAAAAUUGAAACAGAACACACUAGGAUGAUCACCAACCGUUCUAUCACGGCUCGAUUAAUUUUUGUCCGAUAGCACGCCCUGACCCCGAGCCUACCCCCAAAACCAUGGUAAAUAGCUCAUUGACUUGGCCCAAAAAUACCCCAUUUGCGUUGUUUCACCCAUUUAAAUAGCCAUGAAUAUUGAAAUAGACCACACUUGGACUAUCCAUAACCUCCCUGGGAUGCCCUAGUUGAUAUUUAUCCCACAGCAGACCCGGAACCCGAGCCCACCUAAGAACCAUGGGCUAUAGCACACCAAUUUGACACGAAAAUACCCCGUUCGCACUAUUUUGCCUGUUUUUAACCCAAAUAGCCACAAAUAUUGAAACAUUCCAUAAUGGAAUAUUCCCCAACAAACCUAGAAUGCCUCAAUAGAUUUUUGUACCACAUCAUGCUCGCAUCUCGGGCCCACCACCAAAACCGUGGGCUAUAGAACACCGAUUUGGCAUAAAAUGACCCAUUCGUGCCGUUUUUCCCGAUUUUCCACACAAAUGGCCACAAAUAUUGAAACAGACCAUACUAGGAGAAUUCUUAACCUCCCUAGCAUGUCUUGGUCAAUUUACAGCCCACAAAAUUCUUGGAUGUCGAGCCUACACCUAAAACUGUGAGCUAUAGCAUACCGAUUUGGUCCAAAAAUGCCUUAUUUGCAUAAUUUCUCUUGUUUUUCAACACAAAUAGCCACGAAAAUUGAAACACACCAUACUGGGAUGAACCCCAAACUCCCUGGCAUGCCCCGGUUAAUUUUUGUUUCACAGCAUACCCGAAACCCAAGCCCACCCCCAAAUGGCCACAAAUAUUGAAACAGACCACAUUGUGAUGAUCCCUAACCUCUCUAUUAUUCCUCAAACAAUUCUCAACCAACAUCACAUCCAAACCCUGGGCCUACCCUAGAACCGUGGGCUAUAGCACACCAAUUUGGCCUGAAAAUGCCCAGUUCAUGCUGUUUCGCCCGUUUGUCUAUCCAAAUAGGUACAAAUAUUUAAAACGAACACACUGGGAUGAUCCCUAACCUCCUUAGCACGCCCUAAUAUAUUUAUGGCUCACAGCACGCCCGAACCCCAGACCCACCCCUAGAACCCUGGGCUAUAUCACACUAAUUUAACCUGAAAAUGCCUCGUUCGCCUUAUUUCGCCCAUUUGUCAACCUAAAUGGCCACGAAUAUUGAAAUGGACCACACUGGGAUAAUUACCAUGCCUCAGUCAAUUUUUAACCAACAACACGCCUGAAGCUCGAGCCCACCCCUGGAAUGGUGGGCUAUAGCACACCAAUUUAUCCCAAAAAUUCCCCGUUUGUUUUACUUCGCCCAUUUGUCCAUCCAAAUGGCCACGAAUAUUGAAACGUACCACAAUGGGACCAUCCUUAACCUACCUGGAACUCCCUUAUUGAUUUUUGGCCAUCAUCACGACCGAGCCCCAAGCCCACCCCCAAAACCAUGAGCUGUAGCAUAUCAAUUUAGCUCGAAAAUACACCAUUUGUGCUGUUUCACCCAUUUGUCUACCCAAAUGGCCAUGAAUAUAGAAACAGAACACACUAAGAGAUCCCCAACCUCCCUGGAAUACCUCGAUCUAUUUUCAAUUAACAAUACGCCCAAACCUUGGGCCCACCCUAAAACUGUGGGCUAUAGCACACUAGUUUGGCCCGAAAAACCUCAUUAACACCAUUUCGCUUAUUUGUCUACCCAAAUGGACACGAAUAUUGAAAAAAACUACACUGGGAUGAUCCAAAACCUUCCUAAAAUACAUCGAUCAAUUUUUAUCCCAAAGAACAUCCAAAGCCUGGGCCCACCCCAGAACCGUGGGCUAUAGCACACCAAUUUAUCUCAAAAAUGCCCCGUUCGCGCCAUUUUACCUAUUUGUCUAUCCAAAUGGCCAUGAAUAUAGAAAUGAACCACACUGGGAUGAUCCCUAACUUCCCUGUAAAGCCUUGAUUGAAUUUUAACCAAGAACACGAUCGGAUCCUAGGCCCAUCCCUGGAACCGUGGGCUAUAGCACACUGAUUUGGCCUCAAAACACCCCGUUCACGUUAUUUUAACCAUUUGCCCACCCAAAUAGCCACGAAUAUUGAAACGGACCACACUGGGAUGAUCCCCAACCUCCCUGGUAUGCCCUAAUAGAUUUUUAGCCCUCAGAACGCCUAGACCCCAGGCCCACCUCUGGAAUCUUGGGCUAUAGCACACCGAUUUAGCCUGAAAAUGACCUGUUCGGGGCAUUUCACUUGUUUGUCAACCCAAAUAGCCACGAAUAUUUAAAUGAACCACACUAGGAUAUAACACACUGAAUAAGACCAAAAAUACCCUAUUUGUACACUGGGAUAAUUACCAUGCCUCAGUCAAUUUUUAACCAACAACACGCCUGAAGCUCGAGCCCACCCCUGGAAUGGUGGGCUAUAGCACACCAAUUUAUCCCAAAAAUUCCCCGUUUGUUUUACUUCGCCCAUUUGUCCAUCCAAAUGGCCACGAAUAUUGAAACGUACCACAAUGGGACCAUCCUUAACCUACCUGGAACUCCCUUAUUGAUUUUUGGCCAUCAUCACGACCGAGCCCCAAGCCCACCCCCAAAACCAUGAGCUGUAGCAUAUCAAUUUAGCUCGAAAAUACACCAUUUGUGCUGUUUCACCCAUUUGUCUACCCAAAUGGCCAUGAAUAUAGAAACAGAACACACUAAGAGAUCCCCAACCUCCCUGGAAUACCUCGAUCUAUUUUCAAUUAACAAUACGCCCAAACCUUGGGCCCACCCUAAAACUGUGGGCUAUAGCACACUAGUUUGGCCCGAAAAACCUCAUUAACACCAUUUCGCUUAUUUGUCUACCCAAAUGGACACGAAUAUUGAAAAAAACUACACUGGGAUGAUCCAAAACCUUCCUAAAAUACAUCGAUCAAUUUUUAUCCCAAAGAACAUCCAAAGCCUGGGCCCACCCCAGAACCGUGGGCUAUAGCACACCAAUUUAUCUCAAAAAUGCCCCGUUCGCGCCAUUUUACCUAUUUGUCUAUCCAAAUGGCCAUGAAUAUAGAAAUGAACCACACUGGGAUGAUCCCUAACUUCCCUGUAAAGCCUUGAUUGAAUUUUAACCAAGAACACGAUCGGAUCCUAGGCCCAUCCCUGGAACCGUGGGCUAUAGCACACUGAUUUGGCCUCAAAACACCCCGUUCACGUUAUUUUAACCAUUUGCCCACCCAAAUAGCCACGAAUAUUGAAACGGACCACACUGGGAUGAUCCCCAACCUCCCUGGUAUGCCCUAAUAGAUUUUUAGCCCUCAGAACGCCUAGACCCCAGGCCCACCUCUGGAAUCUUGGGCUAUAGCACACCGAUUUAGCCUGAAAAUGACCUGUUCGGGGCAUUUCACUUGUUUGUCAACCCAAAUAGCCACGAAUAUUUAAAUGAACCACACUAGGAUAUAACACACUGAAUAAGACCAAAAAUACCCUAUUUGUGUCGUUUCGCCCAUUUGUCAAACAAAAUGACCAUGAAUAUUGAAAAAAACCACGGUGGAAUGAUACCCAACCUCCCUAGCAUGCCCCGAUCAAUUUUUUUCCCACAUCAUGCCCGGAUCCCAGGCCCACCCCCAGAACCGUGGUCUAUAGCACUCUGAUUUAGCUCGAAUAUGCCCCAUUCUCAUUAUUUUGCCUGUUUUUCCACCCAUAUGGCCACGAUUAUUGAAAAGGACCAUACUGGGAUAAUCCUUAACCUCCUUGGCAUACCCCGAUUUAUUUUUGACCCAUAUAACAGCAAGACCCCAGGCUCACCCCAAGAACCUUGGGUUAUAGCACUCCGAUUUGGCCCGAAUAUUCCUCAUUCUCAUCGUUUCAAUGUUUGGUCCACCCAAAUAGCCAUGAAUAUUGAAACUGCCCAUACUAGAAUAAUUGGAAACCUCCCUAGCAUACCUCAGUCAAUUUUUAACCCAUAACACACCUGGAACCCGAGCCUACACCCAAAUUCGUGGGCUAUAGCACACCAAUUUGGCCCAAAAAUGCAUCGUUUGAAUCAUUUCUCUUGCUUGUCCAACCAAAUAGCAACGAAUAUUGAAAUAGACCACACCGAGACAAUACUAAACCUCCUUAACAUGACUCGAUCAAAUUUUAGCCCACAGCACACCCGAACCCUGGGCCCACCCCAAGAACCGUGGGCUAUACUAUACUGAUUUAGCCUAAAAAUACCCCAUUUGUGCUAUUUCACCAGUUUGUCCACCAAAAUGGCAACGAAUAUUUAUAUGAACCAUACUGGGAUGAUCCCUAGCCUUACUGGCAUGCUCCAGUCAAUUUUUGACCCACAGAACAUCCGGACCCUAGGUCUACCACAGAAUCAUGGGCUAUAGUACAUUAAUUUGGCUCGAAAAUGACCAUUCAUGCUGUUUUGCCUAUUUGUCCUUUCUAAUGUCCACGAAUAUUAAAAUGGACCAUGCUGGACUAUUCCUAAACUCCCUGGCAUGCCCCAAUCAAUUUUUUGACCAUAACAUGCUCGGACCCCCAGGGAUGACCCCAGAAUCAUAGUUUAUAUCACACCGAUUUGGCUACGCCAUUUUUUCCAUUUUCCACCUAAAUGAUCACAGUUAUUGAAAUAGACCACACUGAUAUGAACCCCAACCUACCUGGCAUGCCUCGAUCAACUUUCAUCCCACAGCAUGCUCGAAACCCAGGCCCACCCCUAGAAUUAUAGGCUAUAUAGCACACUAAUUUGGCUCAAAAAUGCCCCGUUCGCGCCGUUUCAACUGUUUUUCCACCCAAGUUACCACGAAUAUUGAAAAGGACUACACUGGGAUGAUUCACAACCUCCCUAGCAGGCCCAUAUAGAUUUUUUGCCCAUAGAAUGCUCUGAUCCUGGGCCCACCCCAGGAAUCGUGGGCUAUAACACAUCAAAUUAGCUCGAUAAUGCCUCAUUCAUGCCAUUUUACCCGUUUGUCCAUCCAAAUUUCCAUAAUUCAAUGAAACAUACUGGUAUGAUACCCUAUAACCCUGGCACACCCCGAUAGAUUUUUGGCCCACAUCAUACUCGUACCCCUGGCCCACUUUCAAAAUAGUGGGCUAUAGCACACCGAGUUGGCCUAAAAAUGCCCACUUCUCGCUAUUUUGCCCGUUUGUCAACCCAAAUGGUCAAAAAUAUUAAAACAAACCACAUUGAAUUGAUCCCCAACCAACCUAGCAUGCCCUAGUUGAUAUUCAUCCCAUAGCAUGCCCAAACCACAGGCCUCUCCAGGUAAUAGCUUACCACUUCUAGUGGUGAUAGCCAUGUAUGAGCCAUUAUUCUAUGGAUUUUAGACCGUAUCACUUGGUAACAUUUUGCUUUUCCUAUGGUUGAAUACUGCAAAGAGUUAGCUCAUCUGUUGCUCCAACUGUUUGAUUACGGUGGAGUGUGAGUGCACAAACGGACUGAUGGAUGCCAUAUCGGUCUUCAUGGUGGUCACGCUAGAGUUGGUAGCCUCCACUCACUUCAACAACUUAGCCAUCAUGUCCUCCAUGGACAUCUCUUUAGAACUUGUUGAAGCAGCCUCACGAUUUCUAGGAGAUACAUAUAGCCCACUCCUAUCAUUGUUAUUCCUCCAAUUUCCUUGCUCCUUAUCUUUAUAACUAGGCCUAUCAUCGUAAGUUCGGCCUUGAUUCCAUUGGCUAUUGCCUUGGAAACCCCCUGAUUAUUAACAUAGUUCUCUUCUUCAUUUGCAUCAGCCUCAAUUCUAUCUUGAGAUCCCACAACUUACACCUUCUAAAUCUUGCCUGAUAGAAAGUUCUUGGUUAGCAAGUCCAUUUGUGUUUUAAGGUGAGCCAUGUCUUGGUCACUCUUCUCAUCUCUUCUGCUUUGCUCUGCAGUAAUACCCCUUACAAAUAGUAGGGCUAGCUACCACAGAGUCUCUGGUAAACUAUGCUUGACUGUAUUUAGUCAUUCUUUCCAACAUCUCAAAAGCCUCUGGGAAUGUAAAAUCAACAAACGAACCACCAACAACAUUAUCUACAAUUGGCUUUGUAAUAGAGUUAAGAGCCCUGUAUAUAGUCUCCAUCAAGUUUAUGUCCGUCAGAUUUUGGUUCGUACACUGUAUCAGCUUCUUCUUUAAUCUCUGCCAGGUUUCAUGUAAGGUUUUAGUCAGGAGCUGCCUAAAGUUGUUGAUCUCAUCCCUAAACUGUACCCUCUUCUUGGAAGAAGAAAAUAACCUUUCUAGGAAAGCUCCUUUCAACUGCCUCCAGUUGGUUAUAAAAUCAGGUGUCAGUUCAUUUAGCCACAAUGUUGCCUCCCCAGAGAGAGACAACAGGAACAAUCUCAAUCGGAUAGCAUUCCGGCCUACUCCUGGGUUAUCAAAAGAUUUAAAAUAGUGACAAAAUUCACCAGAUGCAAGUUCAGGUCAUCCCCAGGAAGGCCACCAAACAACCCGUUCAAAUUGAUAAGUUGGAUCAUAGUACUCGUAAUGUUGAAUUUCACCCCAGGUGCCAACGGUGGAGGAAUAAUUGCACCCAUUUCACCUGCUCCGUCUAUUCCAUCAUCAUAAUCAUUGAGAUCAUACUGGACCGGCUGGUAUAAUUGCCUUUCUCAAAAUGGACAGUUCCUGUUAACAUUACACUGUACUGGUGCAGCUAUUUGCUCUGCACGCCUUGGGUUACUAGGAUUCAUCAACUUCUCAUCUCCUAAAUCUUCAUCUUUGGGAUUUGGAAGUCAUGCCUGUUGACCGACAUUUUGCACAUUCACCUGAGCUCUAGCUAAGGCUGCUAACCUGUCAGACUCUUGUUGUUCUAUCAUUCUUCCAAUUUGUUGCGGUUCCAGAUUAAGUGGUAAUAAUGGUUCUCCAAAACUUCUGGUUCUUGGUAUACACUGUAAAGAUCCUGCAAUAAACAAAAACAACAAAUAAAUGUAAAACUAGAAAACUUGACUAAUAGCCAAUUUGCGCCUACAAACUUUAGUUUACAACUAUAUUCCCCAGUAACGGUGUCAUUUUUGAUAACGCGCAAACUACACCUCUCAAUGAGAAUGUAAACGAUCAUUGUCAAUAUAAAACCCAACUAGGUUGGGGUCGAAUCCCACAGGGAAUAUGGUGUGAAUGUAAGUCAUUUGCGAUUUAAUCAACUGAUAGUUGGAUAUUUCCAGAAAUGGGGUUUUUAGUUUAACAAGUAAUUGUUGGUCACUUUAGUUUCAGUGUUCGUAAUCAAGAGUUUAUGAGAAACCAGAAUUAUGUUCACUAGGGGUUUUGGUACUUGACAGAUGCUAAUAGUGGUUCAAGAUUCUCGCCGUAGCUAGGAAAACAGGUUAUUUUUAUCGAAGUUAUUCCUAAAUGUCUCUCGACCUACUUAAUCAUUUAAUUACCUAAUCCUCUUGGACUUAGGAAAUUUAUGUUCACUGGCCAGACUUUAUCUCAGGUUAACUAACCUUACUACAACGUUGAUUAUUAAAUGGAAGUUUAGUGUUUCCAAGUCCCUGUUGAUAAUUCACUUCCCACUAUAUUUAAUUUCUUUCUCAAGCAAAUCAAAGUAGGUGUUAUCUAUCGUUUGCAACCAAUAGACGUAAAUUAAAACCUCAUAAUUAUCAAGAAGUCCUAUUACCUUUUGAAUCUUGAACACUUAGCACUUUAUCAAGACUUAACCCUAGAUCCCAUAAUUCAGGUUAGAGGGAUUUAGCCACUCAUAAAGUUAAAAUCGAAACAACUAGUUGUAUUCAUGCUUUGAAAGAUUAACUUACCACAAGAAAAAUAAUAACUAGUGAAUCUCAGAUUAGAUCGCAAUACAAAUCCCAAAAUAAUGAUUAUAAUCUCUUCAAAGUAAUUGUUUUUUCAAGCCAAGAAAUUAGAGAGAGAAAAUAUAAAAGUAUGUGUCUCAAAACUCAAUGUUCGGAACUCUCCAGAAAACCCUAAACAAGGCUUUAAAUAGUUCACCCCAAUUAUGGAAACAAAAUAAUAAAAUUCAGAAAUUCCUCGGAUUAGGUGAUGCCAUUUGUGAUAGCCUAUCAGGAGGCUGAUGACUUAUCACAAAUGUCGUCAGCUCCUCUUUUCUUUUAAUACUCGCUGCCUAAUGCUGAUGACAAAUGGUGAUGCUCUAUUAGCUCCUUGAUGACCUAUCACGAAUGUCGUCAAGUCUCUACUUCAGCUCUCAUGUGUUGCCUUAGGCUGACGACAACUUUAACGACUUAUUAGCUUCUUGACAACCUAGCACAAAAUGUUGUCACAGCUUUUAACUCAAGUCGAUUCUCUAUCUGAGGCUGAUAAUGAAGCUGAUAACUUAUCAAAGGUCUGCCGACCUAUUCAAAAUGUCGUCAACCAUACUUCUCCUUUAUUUUCUUCCAAUUUCAACUCUUUUGCUUCCAUCCUUGUUGGUUCUCUAUCGUCUUAGCUUCUACUAUAAAAUCAAACAUAAAACAAUCAAAAAUGAAAAACGUUUCUUAAGACUUCACAAUUGUUCUUAGUUAAAAGCCUCAAAUGUGUUAGCAUUAGCUCACACAUCAAUAUCACACCGAUUUAGCCCAUAAAUGCCCUGUUCAGACCGUUUCACCCAUUUGUCAACCUAAAUGGCCACGAAUAUUAAAACAAACCAAACUGGGAUAAUCACCAUGCCUCGAUCGAUUUUCAACCAACAACAUGCCCGAAACCCGGGACCACCCCUGGAAUGGUGGGAUAUAGCACACCAAUUUAUCCAAAAAAUACCUCGUUUACGCCGUUUUGCCCAUUUGUCCACCUAAAUGGCCACGAAUAUAGAAACGGGCCAUAUUAGGACCAUCCUCAACCACCCUGGCACUCCCUUAUUAAUUUUCAGCCCUCAGCACACCUGGGCCCCGAGCCCACCCUUGAAACUGUGGGCUAUAGCACACUAAUUUAGUCCGAAAAUGCCUAGUUAGCACUAUUUCACCCAUUUGUCUAACCAAAUGGCAACGAAUAUAGAAAUGAACCACACUAGGAGAUCACCAACCUUCCUAGAAUACCUCAGUCUAUUUUCAAACAACAACACACCCAAACCCUAGGCCCACCCUUAGAACCUUGGGCUAUAGCACACCAAUUUGGCUCGAAAAAACCCAUUCACACUAUUUCGCCCGUUUGUCUACCCAAAUAGACACAAAUAUGGAAAUAGACCACACUGGGAUGAUCCCCAUCCUCCCUAGCACACCCCUAUCACUUUUUAUCCCACAGAACAUCCAAACCCCAAGCCCACCCCAACACCGUGGGCUAUAACACAUUGAUUUAGCCCAAAAAUGCUCGUUUGCGCUGUUUUGCCCAUUUGUCUAUCCAAAUGGCCAUGAAUAUAGAAAUGGACCACACUAGGAUGAUCACUAACCUCCCUGGCAUGCCUUGAUUGAUUUUCAACCAACAAAAUGCUCGGACCCUAGGCCCACCCCUGGAACCGUGGGCUAUAGCACACCAAUUUGGACCCAAAAUACCCCAUUCGCGCUGUUUCUCCCAUUUGUCUACCCAAAUGGCCAUGAAUAUUGAAACAAACCAUAAUGGGAUGAUAUCCAACCUCCCUUGCAUGCCCCAAUAGAUUUUCAUCCCUCAACACGCCUGGACCCCAGGCCCUCCCCAGAACCUUAGGCUAUAGCACAUCGAUUUGGCCUAAAAAUACACCAUUUAUAGAAUUUUGCUUGUUUGUUAAUCCAACUGGCCAUGAAUAUUUACACGGACCACACUAGGAUAUAACACACUGAAGAAGACCGAAAAGUCCCUAUCCGCACUUUUUCACCUGUUUGUCAAAUAAAAUGGCAAUGAAUAUUGAAACGAACCACAGUGGUAUGAUAGCCAACCUUCCUAGCACACCCCAAUCAAUUUUUGUACCAUAGAAUGUUCGGACCCCAGGCCCACUCCCAGAACUGUGGUCUAUAGCACUCUGAUUUAGCCCGAAUAUGCCCCCUUCUUGUCAUUUUGCCUAUUUGUCCUCACAAAUGACCAUGAAUAUUGAAACGGACCACAUUGGGAUGCUCCCUACCCUCCUUGGCAUACCUCGGUCAAUUUUUAGCCCACAACACACCUAUAUCCCGGGCCUACCCCAAGAACCGUGGGCUAUAGCACUCCAAUUUGGCCUAAAUAUGCCUCAUUCUCGCCGUUUCACACUUUUGUCCACCCAAAUGGCCAUGAAUAUUGAAACUGGCCACAAUGGGAAGAUCUUUAAUCUCUUUGGCAUGACUUGAUCAAUUUUUGGCCCACAACACACCUAGACCUGGACCCACCCCAGAACCAUGGGUUAUAGCCCACCGAUUUGGCCUGAAAAUACCCCGUUCAAAUUAUUUCCCCAUUCUCCACUCAAAUAGCCAUGAAUAUUAAAAUGACCCACAGUGGAAUGAUCCCUAGUCUCCCUGGCAUUCCCUGAUCUAAUCUUAUCCCACAGUACGCUCGAACCCCGAUCCCACCCUCGGAAUCGUGGGCUAUAGCACACUAAUUUAGUCCAAAAAUGCCUCAUUCAUGACGUUUCACCCAUUUGUCCACCCAAAUGGCUAUGAAUAUUGAAACAGACCAAACUAGGAUGAUCUCCAACCUCCAUUGCAUGCCUCGGUCUAUUUUUGGCCCACAACACAACCAAACCCCUAGCUCACCCUGAGAACUAUGGGCAAUAGAACAUUAAUUUGGCUCGAAAAUGCCUCGUUCGCGUCGUUUUUCCUAUUUGUCCACCCAAAUUGCCACUAAUAUUGAAAUGAACAACAUUGGGACAAUCCCCAACCUCUUUAGUACGCCUCAAUUGAUUUUUCACCCACAAAAUUCCUUGACCCAAGACCACUCCUGGAAUCGUGGCUAUAGCACACUGAUUUGGCCUGAAAAUUCCUCGUCUACGCUAUUUCGCCUAUUUGUCCAUCUAAAUAGCCACGAAUAUUAGAACGGACCACACUGGGACAGUACCCAACUUCCCUAGCAUGAUCUGAUUGAUUUAUGUCCCAUAGAACGCCAGGAACCCUAGCCCACCCUUAAAAUCAUGGGAUGUAGCACACCAAUUUGGCCUGAAAGUUCCCCAUUCGCCCGUUUGUCCACUGAAAUGGCCACAAAUAAUGAAAGGGACAACAAGGGGAUGAUCCCAACCUCCCUAGCACACCCCGGAUGAUUUUCGACCUAUAACACACACGAAACCCAAGCCCACCCCAGAACCAUAGGUUAUAGCAUACUGAUUCAGCCCAAAAAUACCCUAUUUACGCCGUUUCACCUGUUUCUCAACAUAAUGGACACGAAUAUUGAAACAAACCACAUUGUUAUUAUCCUAAACCUUCCUAGCAUACCUCAAUUGAUUUUCGGUCGACAACAAACUCGAACCUCGAGCCCACCCCUAGAAUCCUGAGAUUUAGCACACUAGUUUGGCUUAAAAAUACCCGGCUCAUAGAGUUUCACCCUUUUGUCCACCCAAAUAGCCACGAAUAUUUAAACGGAUCAUACUGGGAAGAUUGAUAACCUCCUUAGCACUCCCUGAUUAAUUUUUAACCAACAACACUUUCAAACCUCAGGCCCACCCCCGGAACUGUGGUCUAUAGCACAUCGAUUUGGUUGGAAAAUGCCAUGUUCGCGUAAUUUUGCCUAUAUAUCAACCGAAAUGGCCAUGAAUAUUUAAACAGACCAUAGUGAAAUGAUACCCAACCUCCCUGGCAUGCCUCAAUAAAUUUUUGGCCCAUAUCAUGCCAGGACAUUGGGCCCACCUCGGAAUCAUGGGCUAUAGCACACGGAUUUGGCCCCAAAAAAGCUCUAUUCGCGCUGUUUUGCCCAUUGCCAACCCAAAUUGCUACUAAUAUUGAAACGGGCUAUAUUAUUAUGAUCCCUAACUUUCAUGGAAUGCCCUUUUGGAUUUUAAACCCAAAACACACCUGGACACCGAACCCAGCCUAGAACCGUAGGCUAUACCCCACUGAUUUGCCCUGAAAAUUCCCCAUUUAGGUCGUUUUGCCCGUUUAUCCACCCAAAUGGCCAUGGAUAUUAAAACGGACCACACUGGGAUGAUCCUAACCUCUCGGGAAUUCCCUAGUCAAUUUUCAUCCCCCAGAACACCAGGACCCUGGGCCCACCCCAAAACCGUAGGAUAUAGCACACCAAUUUAGCCUUAAAAUGCCCCAUUUGUGUCGUUUCGAUUGUUUGUCCACCCAAAUGGUCAUAAAUAUUGAAAUGGACCACAUUGGUAUGAUCCCUAACCUUACUGUCAUACCCCAGUCAAUUUUCAGCCCACAGCACGUUCGAACCCCGGGGAUGACCCUAGAACCGUAGGCUAUAGCAUACUAAUCUAGCUUGAAAAUGCCCUGCUCGUGCCGUUUCACCCGUUUGUCAACCUAAAUGACCAUAAAUAUUGAAAUAAACUUUAUUAAGAUGAUCCCCAACCUCCAUGGCAUGCCCUGAUCAAUUUUUAGCCCACAACAUGCCCGGACCCUAGGCCCACCCCCAGAACCGUGGGCUAUAGCACAACAAUUUGGCCCGAAAAUACCCUAUUCAUAGCAUUUCGCCUUUUUGUACACCCAAAUGGUCAUGAAUAUUGAAACGGACCACACUAGGAAAAUUCCUAAGCUCCCUAGCAUGCCUCGGUCAAUCUUAGGCCCACAGCAAGCCCAGACCAUGGGCCCACCCCUAGAAUCGGGGUUUGUAGCAUACUGAUUUAGCUCGAAAAUGUCCCAUUCGCAUCGUUUCGCCCGUUUGUCCACCCAAUUGGAUACGAAUAUUAAAAUGGACCAUAGUGGGACAAUCCCCAACCUCUAUGGCAUAGUUAAUUAAUUUUUGACCCAUAGAAAGCUUGGACCCCAGGCCCACCCCAGAACCAUGGGCAACAAUACACCGAUUUCGUUCGAAAAUACCCCGUGUGCACUAUUUCACCCAUUUAUCGACCUAAAUGGAACCGAAUAUUGAAACAAACCACUAUGGAAUAAUUCCCAACCUCUGUGCAAUUCCCCAAUCUAAUUUUGGCCCACAACAUGCCCGAACCCUAAGCUCACCACCGGAACCGUGGGCUAUAACACACUGAUUUAGCUAAAAAAUGCCUCGUUCGCAAUGUUUUGCUUGUUUGUCCACCCAAAUGGACACAAAUAUUAAAUUUAACCACACUGGGAUGAUCCCUAACAUCCCUGGCAUACCUCGGUUGAUUUUAAUCCCACAACAGCCUGGACCCCAGGCCCACCCCCGAACCGUGGGGUAUAUCAAACCAAUUUGGCUCCAAAAUGCCUUAUUCUCACUGUUUUGCCUGUUUGUCCACUAAAAUAGCCACGAAUAAAGAAACGAACUACACUAGGAUGAUACCUAACCUCCCUGGCACACCACGAUCAAUGUUUGGCUAACGACACAGCCAAACCCUGGGUCCACCCUCAAAACUGUGGACUAUUAUAGCACACUGAUUCAGCCCAAAAAAACUACUUUAUGUUGUUUCGCCUAUUUGUCCAUGAAAAUGGACACAAAUAUUAAAAUAGACCAUAAUGGGACAAUCCCUAACCCUAUUGGCAUGCCCCGAUCAAUUUUUGGCCCAUAGUAUGCCAGGACACUAGGCCCACCUCAAGAACCGUGGGCUAUAGCACACAUAUUUUACCCAAAAAUGCCCCAUUGGUGGCAUUUUUACCAUUUGUCCAAGCCACGAAUAUUGAAAUAGACCACACUAGGAUGAUUCUCAACCAAAUUGGAAUGCCCUAAUCAAUUUUCAGCCAGCAGAACGCCCAGACCCCAGGCCUACCCCCGAAACCAUAGCCUAUAACACACAGAUUUAGUGCAGAAAUGCCAUGUUCAUGCAAUUAUUCUUGUUUGUCCACCAUAUGGCCACGAAUAUUAAAACGAUCCAUAAUAUUACGAUCCCAAACCUUCCUGGCAUGACCCAGUAUAUUUUCUUUCCAUGGCACACCCAGAACCUAGGCCCAACCCCAAAACCGUAGGCUAUAGCACACUAAUUUAGCUAAAAAAAUUCCCUGUUCGCCCUGGUUUGCCCAUUUAUCCACCCAAAUGGCCACGAAUAUUGUAAUGUACCACACUGGGAUGAUUUUAUACCUCCCUGGUAUGCCCCAAUCAAUUUUAUCCGCACACUAUGCUCGACUCUUGGGCCCACCCUGAAAUGUGGGCUAUAGUAUACCAAUUUUUCUCAAAAAUGUCCUAUUUGCACUAUUUAGCCUGUUUGUCCAUCCAAAUGGACACGAAUAUUGAAACAAACCACACCGCAAAAAUCCUCAACCUCCCUGGCAUGUCCUGGUCGAUUUUUGGCCCACAUCACACAAAGAUCCCAGGCCUACAAUCAGAACCGUGGGUUAUAAACACCAAUAGCCCCAAAAAUGCCCUGUAAUUACCAUUUUGCCUAUUUGUCCACCCAAAUGGUCAUGAAUAUUGAAAUGAACCACACUGGACAAUCCCCAACCUCCCUAGCAUGCCCUCAUAGAUAUGUGGUCCACAACAUAGUCGGACCUUGAGCCCACCCCCAAAAUCGUAGGCUAUAACAAACUGAUUUACCCUAAAAAUGUCAUAUUCACACUAUUUUGCCUGUUUGUCCACCCAAAUGGCCACAAAUAUUUAAACGGACCAUACUGAAACUAUUCCCAAACUCCCUGGCAUUCCCAAACGAUCCAUUUAUUUUGACUGAUCUAUCUAAAUGGACACAAAUAUUGAAAUAAAACACACUGGAAUGAUACCUAACCUCCCUGGAAUGCCCCAGUCAAUUUUUGGCCCACAGAACUCCCGAACCCUAGGACCACCCCCAAAACCAUGGUCUAUAACACAUUAAUUUAGCCUGAAAAUUCCCGAUCUCACCGUUUCGCCUGUUUCUCCAUCUAAAUGGCCAUGAAAAUUGAAAUGUAACACAAUGGAAUGAUUCCCAACCUCUCUACCAUAACCCAAUUUAUUUUCUCCACACAGCACACUUGGACCUUGUGCCCGUCCCCAAAACAGUGGGCUAUAGCACACCAAUUUGCUAAAAAAUGCACAAAUCACACCAUUUUGCCCGUUUGUCCACCCAAAUAGACAUGAAUAUUGAAACAGACAAUACUGGGAUGAUCCUCAACCUCCCUAGCACACCCUAUUCAAUUUUUGUCCCAUAUCACACACAGACCCCGGGCCUACCCCCAGAACCUUGGGCUAUAACACACCAAUUUACCCUAAAAAUGCCAUAUUAUUGCCGUUUUGCCCAUUUGUCCACCCAAAUGGUCAUGAAUAUUGAAAUGAUCCAUAUUGGGAUGAUACCCAACCUCCCUAGCAUGCCUUGAUCAAUAUUCAACCCACAACACAUCCGUAACUCGGGCCCACCCCCUAAAUCGUAGGCUAUAGCACACAGAUUUGGUCCAAAAAUGCCCCAUUCGUGCCAUUUUGCCUGUUUGCUCAACCAAAUAGCUACGAAUAUUUAAAUGGACCACACUGGAUAUUACCCAACCUCCCUAGCAUUCCCCGGUCAUUUUUUGGCCCACAGCUUGCUUGGACCCCAAACCCACCCCCAAUAUUAUAGGCUAUAGCACACCGAUUUCGCCAAAAAUAUCCUAUUCACGUCGUUUCUUCCAUUUUUCUUCCUAAAAAUCUAUUGAAAUAGACCACAAUGGGAACAUCCCUUACUUUCUUAUCAUGCCCAAUUGAUUUUUAGCCCUCAUCACAUACAUACCUAGGGCCCACCCUCGAAAUAGUGGGUUAUAGCACACCAAUUUGGCAUGAAAAUGCCCCGUUCGGAUCGUUUCACUCGUUUGUCCACCUAUAUGGCCACGAAUAAUGAAACCAACAAUCCUGGGAUGAUCCCCAACUUUCCUGGCAUGCCUCAAUUAAUUUACAGUCCCAACAAACCCAAAAUUCUGGCCCACCCCCGAUACCGUGGCUAAGCACACUGAUUUUUGGCCCUAAAAUGCCCCAUUCGCGCCAUUUUGCCUGUUCGUAUGCCCAAAUGGUCACGAAUAUUGAAAUAGACCAUACUACAAUGAUUCCCAAACUCCCUGUCAUGCCCUGAUUAAUUUUUGGUCCACAACAGGCCCGAGCCCUAGUCCCACCCAGAACUGUGGACUAUAGCACACCAAAUUUGCUCAAAAUGCCCAUUCGCGUCGUUUUGCCCAUUUGUCCACCCAAAUGGCCACGAAUAAUGAAAUAAACCACACUGGAAUGAUCCUCAACCAUCCUUAUAUUCCUCAGUCUAUUUACAGCCCACAAUACACUCGGACCCCGGGCCUACCCCAAAACCGUGGGCUAUUGCACACCGCUUUAGCAUGAAAAUGCCCUGUUUGCUCGAUUUCGCCCGUUUGUCCACCCAAAUGGCCAUGAAUAUUGAAAUGGGCUACAUUGGAAUGAUCACCAGAUCACCAACCUCCCUAUCAUGCCCCGAUUAAUUUUUGGCAAAUUAAAUGCCCAAACCUCAGUCCCACCAGAACCAUGGGCUAUAGAAAAUUAAUUUAGUCCAAAAAUGCCCUAUUCGUGCCGUUUUACUUAUUUCUCUACCUAAAUGGACAUGAAUACGAAAAUGGACCACAUUGGGAUAAUACCCAACCUCUUGACAUGCCUCGGUAGAUUUUUGGCCCACAACACUUCCUAACUCUGGGUCCACCCCUAAAACCAUGGGCUAUAGCAAUCGAUUUGACUCGAAAAUGCCCCGUUCGUGCCAAUUUUCCCAUUUGUCCACCUAAAUGGCAAAAAAUAUUGAAAAGGUAAACACUAGGACCAUCCCCAACAAAUUUUUUUCCUACAACACUCUUGGACCCCAGGCCUAUCCCUAAAACCGUGGGCUAUCGCACACCGAUUUGGCCCAAAAAUGCCCCUUUCAAGCUGUUUCGCCUGUUUGUCCACUGAAAUAGCCAUGAAUAUUGAAUGAAAUAGACCACAAUGGGAUGAUACCUAACCUAUCUAACAUUCCCAAAUCAAUUUUUGUCCAAACACAUGCCCGAACACAGGCCCACCCCUGGAACUGUGGGCUAUAGCACACCGAUUCGGCCAACAAAUGGUUCGUUCAGCUAUUUUGCCCAUUUGUCCUCCCAAAUGGCUACAAAUAUUUAAACAGACCACACCGGGAUGAUUCUCGACCCACAUGGAAUAAAUAGAUUGAUUUUUAGCCCAUAGCGCUCUCAGAACUCGGGCCCACCGCCAGAACCGUAGACUAUAGCACACCGAUUAGGCCAAAAAAUGCCCUAUUCGUCCAAUUUUUCCUGUUUGUCCACCAUAUGGCCUUGAAUAUUGUAAAAAACCACACUAGGAUAAUCCUAAGCAUUCCUGGCAUGCCCCGGUCGAUUUUAUCCCCACAGCUCACCUAGACCCCAGGCCCACCCCCAAAACCAUGGGUUAUAGCACACUGAUUUGGCCCAAAAAUUCCACAUUAACGCCGUUUCCCCCUUUGCCCACCCAAAUAGCCAAGAAUAUUGAAGUGUACCAUACUAGAAUGAUCCCCAAUGUACCUGUCACACCCAGGUUGAUUUUCUCCCCACAACACGCCAGGAUCCCGAGCCCACCCCCAGACGGUGGGUUAUAGCACACCAAUUUUGCUCAAAAAUGCCCUAUUCGCACUAUUUUAUCCCAUUUGUCCACCCAAAUGGACAUGAAUAUUGAAACAGACCACACUAAGAUGAUCCCUAACCUCCCUGGCACACCCUUGUCGAUUUAUAGAAUACAUCACGCCCGUACAUGGGCCUACCCUCAGAACUGUGGGCUAUAGCACACCGAUUUUCACCCAAAAUGCCCUGUUAUUACUGUUUUGCUUGUUUGUCUACCCAAGUGGUCAUGAAUAUUGAAACGGACCACACUGGGAAGAUCCCCAAUCUCCCUAGAAUGACCCAUUUGAUAUCCGACUCACAGAGCGCCCGAAACUUGGGCCCACCCCCAAAACCAUAGGCUAUAGCACAUCGAUUUGGUCCAAAAAUGCCUCAUUCGCACCAUUUUUCCUGUUUGUCCAUCCAAAUGGCCACAAAUAUUUAAACAGACCAUACUAGGAUGAUCCCCAACCUCCCUGGCAUAACCCAAUUAAUUUUUAGCCUACAGCACGCCCAGACCCUAAGCUAACCCCCAAAAUCGUGGGCUAUAGCACACCAAUUUUACCCGUUUGUCCACCCAAAUGUCCAUGAAUAUUAAAAAGGACUGCACUAAGCCCAUCCACAAUCUCCUUGGCAUAUCUCGAUCAAUUUUUGGCCCAUAACACGCCCGAAUCCCAGGCCCACCCCCAAAACUGUGGGCUAUAACACAUCAAUAUUGGCCUAAAAAUACUCCAUUUACGCUGUUUUACCAAUAUAAAAACACAACACACUAAGAUGAUCCCCAACCUCCCUGGCACUCCUUGAUCUAUUUUUGCCCCACAACACACCCGGACCCCUGGCCCACCGCUAAAAUCGAAGGCUAUAGCUCAUCAAUUUGGCCUAAAAAUGCCCUAUCAUGUUGUUUCACUCGUUUGGCCACCCUAAUGGCUAAUGAUAUUUAAAUGGUAUUGAAUGAAAUAGACCACAAUGGGAUGAUACCUAACCUAUCUAACAUUCCCAAAUCAAUUUUUGUCCAAACACAUGCCCGAACACAGGCCCACCCCUGGAACUGUGGGCUAUAGCACACCGAUUCGGCCAACAAAUGGUUCGUUCAGCUAUUUUGCCCAUUUGUCCUCCCAAAUGGCUACAAAUAUUUAAACAGACCACACCGGGAUGAUUCUCGACCCACAUGGAAUAAAUAGAUUGAUUUUUAGCCCAUAGCGCUCUCAGAACUCGGGCCCACCGCCAGAACCGUAGACUAUAGCACACCGAUUAGGCCAAAAAAUGCCCUAUUCGUCCAAUUUUUCCUGUUUGUCCACCAUAUGGCCUUGAAUAUUGUAAAAAACCACACUAGGAUAAUCCUAAGCAUUCCUGGCAUGCCCCGGUCGAUUUUAUCCCCACAGCUCACCUAGACCCCAGGCCCACCCCCAAAACCAUGGGUUAUAGCACACUGAUUUGGCCCAAAAAUUCCACAUUAACGCCGUUUCCCCCUUUGCCCACCCAAAUAGCCAAGAAUAUUGAAGUGUACCAUACUAGAAUGAUCCCCAAUGUACCUGUCACACCCAGGUUGAUUUUCUCCCCACAACACGCCAGGAUCCCGAGCCCACCCCCAGACGGUGGGUUAUAGCACACCAAUUUUGCUCAAAAAUGCCCUAUUCGCACUAUUUUAUCCCAUUUGUCCACCCAAAUGGACAUGAAUAUUGAAACAGACCACACUAAGAUGAUCCCUAACCUCCCUGGCACACCCUUGUCGAUUUAUAGAAUACAUCACGCCCGUACAUGGGCCUACCCUCAGAACUGUGGGCUAUAGCACACCGAUUUUCACCCAAAAUGCCCUGUUAUUACUGUUUUGCUUGUUUGUCUACCCAAGUGGUCAUGAAUAUUGAAACGGACCACACUGGGAAGAUCCCCAAUCUCCCUAGAAUGACCCAUUUGAUAUCCGACUCACAGAGCGCCCGAAACUUGGGCCCACCCCCAAAACCAUAGGCUAUAGCACAUCGAUUUGGUCCAAAAAUGCCUCAUUCGCACCAUUUUUCCUGUUUGUCCAUCCAAAUGGCCACAAAUAUUUAAACAGACCAUACUAGGAUGAUCCCCAACCUCCCUGGCAUAACCCAAUUAAUUUUUAGCCUACAGCACGCCCAGACCCUAAGCUAACCCCCAAAAUCGUGGGCUAUAGCACACCAAUUUUACCCGUUUGUCCACCCAAAUGUCCAUGAAUAUUAAAAAGGACUGCACUAAGCCCAUCCACAAUCUCCUUGGCAUAUCUCGAUCAAUUUUUGGCCCAUAACACGCCCGAAUCCCAGGCCCACCCCCAAAACUGUGGGCUAUAACACAUCAAUAUUGGCCUAAAAAUACUCCAUUUACGCUGUUUUACCAAUAUAAAAACACAACACACUAAGAUGAUCCCCAACCUCCCUGGCACUCCUUGAUCGAUUUUUGACCCACAACACACCCGGACCCCUGGCCCACCGCUAAAAUCGAAGGCUAUAGCUCAUCAAUUUGGCCUAAAAAUGCCCUAUCAUGUUGUUUCACUCGUUUGGCCACCCUAAUGGCUAAUAAUAUUUAAAUGGACUAUACUAGGAUGAUCUCCAACCUCACUAGCAUGCCCUGAUUGAUUUUUGGCCCACAAAAUGCUCGAACCCUAGAACCGUGGGCUAUAAUAUACUAAUUUGGACUGAUAAUGCCCUAUUCGCGCCUUUUCAUGCAUUUUCCACCCAAAUGUCCAUGAAUAUUGAAAUGGAAAAUACUAGGAUGAUACGUAACCUCCAUGGCACGCCUUAGUAUAAUUUAGGCUCACAACAUGCCCGUACCCCAAGCCCACUCAUAAAAUAUGGGCUAUAGCACACUGAUUUUCAGCCCAAAAAUGCCCCGCUCAUGCUGUUUUGCUCAUUUACCCGCACAAAUGACCAUAAAUAUUGAAACAGACCACACUAAGAUGAUCCAGAAACUCCCUAUCAAUACCCAAUCAAUUUUAGGCCCACAGCACGCCCAAACCCUAGGCCCACCCCUGAACCAUUGGCUAUAGCACACUAAAUUUACUCGAAAAUGCCCCGUUCAUGCCGUUUUGCUCAUUUGUCCACCCAAAUGGCUAUGAAUAUUGAAACAGAUUAUACUGGGAUGAUACACAAACCUUCUAUCAUGCACCGGUGUAUUUUUGGCCUACAGCACGCUUGGAUAUCGGGUCUACCCUAAAAUCGUGGGCUAUAGCACACCGAUUUGGCUUGAUAAUGCCCUGUUUGUUUGGUUUCGAUCGUUUGUUCACCAAAAUAGACAUGAAUAUUGAAACAGACCAUACUGGGAUGAUCAACAACUCCCUAGCAUGCCUUGUUUGAUUUUUGUCACACUACAUGUCCGAACCUCAGGCCCACCCCCCAAACCAUGGGCUAUAUAAUAUUGAUUUACCCUUAAAAAUACCCAAUUCAUGUUGUUUUGCUUAUUUCUCCACCCAAAUGGCAACAAAAUUUAAAUCGAACUACACUGGAAUGAUUCCAAACCUCCAUGGUACACCGGUAGAUUUUCUUCCCACAACACUCCCUGGCCUAGGGCCCACCCUUAAACCAUGGCCUAUAGAAAUUGAUUUGGCUUAAAAAUGCUCAAGAUUAAAUAAAAAUAAAGGCCGAGAAAAAUUUAAAAAGAAAAAAAACUAAGAAUCAAAGAAAACUAUUUUUUUUUAUAAAAGUAGACAUUGAAAGGUGUAAACAAAAAAAAAGUAAGAGUUGAGAAAAACUAAAAAGAACAAAUAAAAAGAGGAAAGAAAAAAUAAAAAAUAUAUUAAAAAACAAUGUUGGAUGUCAUUGUCUGAAACAAUAUUGGAUGUCAUUGUUUAUGAAACCAGUAACUUUUGUCCACAUUAGUAGCCAUGUGGCACACAAACUAUUGGGUAACCAAAUCAAUCAUGUAAUCUAAUAAUUCAUAUCCCCUUUUUUCUCUAUUUAGAUUAACCCUCCCCCCAUAUAUGUAAACGGCUAUAAAUAGCCUGCUAGUUACGAAAAUAAUGAUCAUCAAGAUCAAAAACUAUGAACAAUUUCUCAUACUCUUCAAUUUGCUCUAUUUAAUUUGUUUUCUUUACUUUCUAUAAUUUAAUAACACGUUAUCAGCACGAGUCUCUACGAAACCCCUCCGAAGGUAAUCAAAGGUUAGUAUUUUAUUUUCUUAAAUAAUGGCUAAUAUUUCUAGACGCAAUUUUAGUGCCCUAGACAUAUCUGGCAAAAUUUACAUGUCCUGGGAACUUGACGCUAAAAUACAUCUAAAUGCAAUGGGUCUGGCAGACACCAUUAAAAAUGAUAAUAAGGCAUCUGAUCAAGAUAAGGCCAAGGCCAUGAUAUUUCUUCAUCAUCAUCUUGAUGAAGGGUUAAAAAUGGAGUACCUCACGAUCAAAAAUCCCCUCAUAUUGUGGAACAACUUAAAGGAAAGAUAUGACCACCUGAAGAUGGUCAUACUCCCACAAGUUUGUACUGAAUGGACCUAUUUGAGGUUCCAGGACUUUAAAAAUGUAACUAAAUAUAAUUCUGCGAUGUAUAGAAUUAAAUCAUAGUAUGACUUAUGCGGGAAAAAGAUCACAGAUCACGACAUGAUAGAGAAAACCCUUUCUAUUUUUCACUCCCCGAAUAUGGUCCUGCAGCUGCAGUACCGAGAAAUGAGUUUCAAAAAGUAUUCUAAGUUAAUUGGUCAUCUUCUUGUUGCUGAAUAAUAUAAUGAUCUUUUAAUAAAAUAUAAUGAAACUCGGCCUCCUGGUACUGCUCCAUUCCCAGAAGUGAAUGUUUCAAAUUUUCACCCAACUUGGAGUUAAAGAAAUCCUGACCCCAGUGAGGUCAAGGUCGUGGUCGUUGUCGUGGUCGUGGUCGUGGUCGUGGCAGGUAUUUCAAUCAAGGUAAUCAUCUUGCAAUAAACAAUAACCCUCACCACCAGAGUGCAAAAAGAGGGGUAAAGCUCCUAAAACAGCGCCAAGGACGAACCCUAAAAGUAGAUGUUAUCGAUGUGGAGGAAAGGGACACUGGAAGCGUGCCUGUCGUACGCCUAAUCAUCAGGUAAAAUAAUAUCAGGCGUCCCUUAAAAAGCCAGAAAAUGAUGCUGAAAUAAACUUCCUCCUAGAAGAUAACAUUGAGCCCAUAGACUUGGAUGUUUUAGAUUUCAUUCCUGAAGAACAAGUAAAUCACCCUGUCGGUGACAAUAAUGAUAUAAUCCGUUUAUGUUAAUUUUCUGUUAAGUUUGUAUUAAUUUAUUUUCUUUUGUUUGUUAAAGUUAAAAUUAAUUUACGUUUCUAUUAUUAAUAUUUUAAUAAUCUUAUAAAGUUUAUAUAAUAUAUUAUGAGCUAGUACCAUAGUAUAGUAUUAUGAUCACUAAGUAAUUUUGAUUUUGUAGUACGCACAUGAAAUUUUAACAGUAUGAGCUAUUUAUGUAAUGUUAUAGUACAUAAAUUAUGCUAACGUUAUGACUAGAAUUAUUUAUUGCAGUAAUGAAUAUUCAUAGAAGACAUUUUAUGAAAUUAACUUGAGUAGCCAAUAGAUCAUGUUAUUACAUACAAUAUUAAUAAUGUGUAUUUUAGAUGCAUUAGUUAGUAAUAGCAAAACUAUUAUGUAAUAGAGAUGUUAAUUGUUUAGAACGCAGCUGCAAUUAAAAUAUGGAUAUAAAAUAAAAUAAGGUGUAACAGCAUAAUAUUAUGUGCUAAUAUUUAUUUCGUUUAUAUUUUCAUUUUGAAGAAAAUAUGGCUACUCCUCAAGUCUUAAUUGGAUCAAUAAUCGAUCAUGAUGAUAUUUGUAUAAUUGAUAGUGGGACAACGCACACAAUAUUUAAAGAUGAAAAAUAUUUUUCCCACUUACUCAAAAAAAGAGCAAAUAUUACAACAAUUGCUGAAAAUUCAAAAUUGAUUGGAAGAGCUAUUAUAUUUCUGCCUAAGGGGACAAAGUUAAUUAUAGAAGAUGCACUGUUCUCUUCUAAAUCCCCAAGAAACUUAUUGACUUUUAAAGAUAUUCGCAAAAAUGGAUAUCAUGUUGAGACAAUAAAUGAAAUGAAUGUCGAAUAUGUUGGCAUUACAAAGAAUGUCUCAGGUCAAAAACAAAUGUUGGAGAAAUUACCACCUUUGUCUUCUGACUUAUACUAUGCCGAAAUUAGUACAAUUGAAGUACACUCUAUCGUAAAUUAGAAUUUUACUGAUAUAAAUACAUUUUUGCUCUGGCAUGAUCGAAUAGGCCAUCCUGAAUCAAUAAUGAUGAGAUGAAUCAUUGAAAAUUAAAAAGGGCAUCCGUUAAAGAACCUAAAAAUUCUUAGACUGGAUGAAUUUUCAUGUGCUGCUUGUUAUCAAGGCAAACUGAUAACUAGACCAUCGCCACUGAAAGUUAACGACGAAUCCCCUCAGUUUCUGGAAUGUAUACAUGGGGAUAUAUGUGGGCCCAUUCACCCACCAAGUGGGACAUUCAGAUAUUUUAUGAUCCUAAUAGACGCAUCUUCAAAAUGGUCUCAUGUGUGCCUCUUGUCAUCUCGCAACCUAGCGUUUGCAAAAUUAUUGGCACAAAUAAUACUAUUAAGGGCGCAAUUCUCAGAUUAUCCUAUUAAGGCUAUUCGCCUUGAUAAUGCUGGAGAAUUUACAUCCCAAGCUUUUGAUGAUUAUUGUAUAUCAGUUGGGAUAAAAGUUGAAUAUCUUAUUGUUCAUGUUCAUACUCAAAAUGGCCUUGCUGAGGUAUUUAUUAAGCGCCUAUAAUUGAUAGCAAGACCACUUCUUAUGAAAAUAAAAUUGUCUACUACUGUUUGGGGUCAUGCUAUCUUACAUGCAGCAUCAUUUAUUCGUCUCAGGCAAACUCAUUAUAAUAAAUACUCCCCAUUUCAAUUGAUUUUGGGCCAUGAACCAAAUAUUUUCCAUCUACGAAUUUUUGAAUGUGUUGUGUAUGUGCCAAUUACACCACCUCAGCGUACUAAGAUGGGCCCCCAGAGAAGGUUAGGAAUAUAUGUGGGGUUUUAGUCACCCUCUAUAAUUCGGUACCUUGAACCAUUGACGGGAGAUUUAUUUACUGCUCGAUUUAUAGAUUGUUGAUUUGAUGAAACAAAUUUUUCGCAAUUAAGGGGAGAAAAAUGUGAUAAAAGAGAAAUUGCAUGAAAAGUUUCAUCAUUAUCUCAUUUUGAUCCACGUACUCCCAUAUGUGAAAGUGAGAUUCGAAAGAUCAUUCACUUACAGAAAUUAGUAAAUCAAAUGUCAGAUGCAUUUACUGAUUUGAAAAGGAUAACUAAGUCACAUAUCCCUGCAGCGAAUGUGCCUGUUCGAAUUGAAGUUCUAAAAGAACCUUUUUCUAAUGCAAUAGCUUCUCAAUCCCAAACACGCCUGAAGCGUGGCAGGCCAUUGGGUUCAAAGGAUAAAAAUCCUAGAAAAAGAAGCACGAAAAAUGAUAAAUAUGGUGUUGUAAAAGAUUCUCCUGAAGAGACUCAAAAUCUGAUUAAUCCUGAUAUUCUCGAAGAAAUUAGUGAACCCGAGACUCAAAUGAAUAAAGAACUUUCAAUAAGUUCAACUAAUGAUGAGGUAAAUUUAGAUCGAUCAAAAAUUAUGGUGGAUAAUGUUUUUGCAUAUAAUGUUGCACUAAACAUCAUGCAAGACAAUGAGGACCUUGAACCUUUAUCUGUCGAAGAAUGUCGACAGAGAAAAGAUUGACCAAAAUAGAAAGAGGCGAUUCAAUUUGAAUUGAACUCGUUUACUAAAUGGGAGGUUUUCGGACCUGUAGUCAAAACCCCAAAUGAUGUAAAACUAGUUGGCUAUAAAUGGGUCUUCAUGCGUAAAAGAAAUGAGAAAAAUGAGAUUGUAAGAUACAAAGCACGCCUUGUUGCACAAGGAUUUUCUCAAAGACCCGGUAUUGACUAUGAAGAAACAUAUUCACCUGUAAUGGAUGGAAUGAUGUUUAGAUACCUCAUUGGUCUAGCUGUACAUAAAAAUCUUGAAAUCCAUUUAAUGGGUGUGGUUACAGCUUAUCUUUAUGGUUCACUUGAUAACAAUAUUUACAUGAAAAUCCCAGAAGGAUUAAAAUUGCCUGAAGAGUAUAGUUUAAAGUCUCGAGAAUUAUAUUCAAUCAGAUUGCAAAUAUUAUUGUACGGUCUAAAACAAUCAGGGCGUAUGUGGUAUAAUCACCUAAGUGAGUACUUGAAAAAUGAAGGAUACAUAAAUGAUGCUAUUUGUCCUUGUAUUUUCAUUAAGAAAACAGUGACGGGGUUUAUUAUACUCGCCGUUUAUGUGGAUGAUAUAAAUCUCAUCAGGACUCUAGAAGAGAUCCAAAAGGCAAUCGAAUAUCUAAAGAAAGAAUUCGAAAUGAAAGAUCUUGGAAAGACAAAACUUUGUCUUGGUAUGCAAAUCAAACAUUUAACAAACGGAGUAUUCAUCCACCAAACUGCCUAUACCCAGAAGGUAUUGAAAUGAUUUUACAUGGACAAUGCAUAUCCAUUAAGUACUCCAAUGGUUGUUCGAUCACUUGAAGUGAGUAAAGAUACUUUCCGACCUCUGGAAGAUGGUGAAGAGAUUUUUGGUCCCAAAGUACCAUAUCUCAGUGUUAUUGCAGCACUUAUGUACCUCGCUAAUGUUACAAGGCCAGAUAUAGCAUUUUCUGUUAAUUUACUUGCAAGAUAAAGUUCUUCGCCUACGCGAAGACACUGGAACGGAGUUAAGCAUAUAUUGAGGUACCUAAAAGGGACUAUUGAUAUGGGUCUAUUUUAUACUAACAAAGCUAGUCCAGAUCUUGUUGGUUAUGCAGAUGCAGGUUAUUUAUCUGACCCACAAAAAGCACGGUCCCAACAGGCUAUGUGUUUACAUAUGGAGGUACUACAAUAUCAUGGUGAUCGACAAAGCAGCCCAUCAUUGCUAUUUCUUCUAAUCAUGUUGAGAUAAUUGCUAUCCAUGAAGCAAGUAGAGAAUGCAUAUGGCUGAGAUCAUUGGUACAUUCCGUCAAAGAAAGAUGUGGCCUAAAGCUUGAUAUCAAGGUACCUAUAGUCAUAUUUGAAGAUAAUGCAACAUACAUAGCUCAACUAAAAGAAGGCUUUAUAAAGAGAGAUAGAACGAAGCACAUUUCACUCAAGUUAUUCUUCACACAUGACCUUCAGAAGAAUGGUGAUAUUGAUGUGCAACAGAACCGUUCCUGUGACAACCCAACAGAUUUAUUCACCAAAUCUUUACCAACUUCAAUCUUUGAGAAAAUGGUACAUAAAAUAGGUAUGAAAAGACUUAAUAAGUUGAAUCGAGGUCUUCAUCCGGGGGAGUAAGAAUACUCCCUGUACUCUUUUUUUCUUAACCAAGGUUUUUAUCCCACUGAAUUUUUUCCUGAUAAGAUUUUUAAUGAGACAGCACUCAAACGCGUAUUCAGUAUUUUUUCCCAAUACAUAGACAUCCAAAGGGGGAGUAUUAAGAAACAAUGUUGGAUGUCAUUGUCUGAAAUAAUACUGGAUGUCAUUGUCUAUGAAACCAAUAACUUUUGUCCACAUUAGUAGCCAUGUGGCACACAAACUAUUGGGUAACCAAAUCAAUCAUGUAAUCUAAUAAUUCAUAUCCCCAUUUACUCUAUUUAGAUUAAACCCCCCAUAUAGCCUGCUAGUUACGAAAAGAAUGAUCAUCAAGAUCUAAAACUAAGAACAAUUUCUCAUACUCUCCAAUAAUAUAAAAUUUUAAAAAAAAAAGUUGAAAGGAAAAAAAAGUAAGAAUUGUGUCUGUGCACUAACAAAAUCCCGAAUAUAUUAGUUAUUGACUAAGAAUUUAAGUUUGAUGCACGGUCAGUGUAUUUUUUCUACUCUAUCAAAUAACUUUUACCUGCUGUAGCAGGUCAUCUAUUUUCUGGUAAUAAUAUAAAAAUGAACGACCUACUACAACACGUACGUAAAAAUCACGUGAUGGUGUAAAAAAAAUACACCGACGAUGCACCAAACUUAAACUCAUUGACUUAAUCAUAUAGAAUCAAAAUGUACACAGUACUAGUCUUACUAGUACUUUCUGUGGCCCACGUACUUUAGUAUGACCUCUUUGGGUUAGUCUAUUUGCUUGUGAUGUCACUAAUACAAGCCACUAAAAUAUAAAACCAAAAGAAAGUUCGGGUCUUUCAAAGUGCAAAAAAUGCAUAAGAAUAAAGCUGAAGGAGAUUUCAGUAGUCUCUAAGGCCAGUAGCAGCUACCUCGAAUCUCCAAUGAUGCUAGCAACGAAGGAACCACAGGUACUAAAGAAGUAUCGUAGAUCAAUCCUAAUUCAAAGUGGUGACGAGUGACACCACAUAAAACAUUUAAACACAAACACACAACCUGUUGUCAUGACCCGAUUUCACAAGUUGUGAUGGUGCCUACUUUAAGCCACUAGUAGGCAAGCCAAGCUAUAGUCCAGAAUGAUAGAUAACAGGACUAACAAGCAGAGACCAAAUAAAAAAUCAUGUAUAAAGAUAAUAACAACAAUAAUAAGUGAAAACUAAGAAGGGAGCAUAUAUAUAGUAUAUCAAAACGAGAAGAGGAAAAAAGGACCAACUAUACAAUGAAUCUCUCCCAAGACCUGGUAAGGUCAGUACUAGAGCCACAACUAACAGAUACCCAGAGUACUAGACAAGAAUAUAAAAUGUCCACAAUAUACACAAUUAGUCUCGAGUACAAAAGACUAAUUAGAGUAGAUAAAGAAGGAUCAGCCUCGGACGACAGCAAGCUCACCCUUCUCUGAAUCAGUACUGAAAGGUAGGAAUCACAUUAACGUCGACUGCUAAUGCUCGAAUCUGUAUUAGGAAAAAAAUGCAAAAAUAUAGUAUGAGUAACAAAAACCACGGGUACUCAGUAGGCAUCAUCGGUCGACUGAGCUCAUUACAAAAAAAGUAUAACUAUAAUGCGAGGGCAUAAUCUGGUCAUCAGUUAAUAGGGAUGGAAAGGUAAACAACUACAAGCUACGCAACAACUAUAAGGAAAUAAACGUAAGCAAUACAGAAAAUGAAUAAUGCAGUAAUAACAAAUAAAUCAAACAUAACCUAAUUGGGCCCCCAUAAGCCCCCUAGGCACACUGAAGAAGACAAUUAACCCAACUGUACCCACCAUAAGCCGGUGGGACACACAAGAAGUAAUGAAAAUAUACAUAAAUAAUCUUUAACUCAGCUGAAUCCAAUAAAUCAUAAUAGUCAUCUAGAUGUGCACCGAACUUGAACCAGCACCAAUGGGUAGUAAUGAGAGUUCAGAUAUAUAGAACUCAUAAUCAGAUGUCGGACUCGAACCAAAACUCAUCGUAACCAUAACAAUCAGAUGUCAGACUCGAACCGAAACUUAUAAUAACCAUAAUAAUCAUCAGAUGCUGGACUCGAAACAGAACUCAUUGUAAUCAUACCCAUCGAUAAUAUUAAAAUUCACAUCAUAUCAUAACGAUGUCAACAUCUAAAUAAUCAUCCAUCAAUCUUAAUUAAAAAGGAAUAAAUUCAAGGUUUUGCAAUUUAAUUUCACGUUCUAAAGUAAUAGAUGUUAUAUUAUAUUAAAAGAUAAUUUUUUAAAAAUUUACUAGAAUGGGAUCCUAAUCCGGAUCAAUAACGUAUCUACAAAUAUUUAUCCAAAGCUAGUAUAGUAGUUUACAUUUUCAGUAAUUAAGCUCAAUCUAAAGAUAGGGUAAACCUAACCUAUCUGGACGUCAUAGCUAUAAUAUCUUUCCGCAAAGCCUCCAAAUAAUAAUCCACUAAAGCUGAGCUUGAAUCCUUUGUAGCUAAUGAAACCUCAGAAUCGGAAACAGCCUCAACAAUAAUAGACUCCUUUGUGAUUAUAAAAAUGAUAAUCACACGAUCAAAUUUGCUAAUUAUAUUCCAAGAUCUUUCAUAAUUUAUAUUUUGUCAAGUUGAAUUUGUGAGGGUUUACACCAAAAGUCGGUGGCAGUGAAAUCAACGUCAUCAUAAUUAUAAAUAAAUAAUAAAGUUAUUUCUAAUACAAUAAAUAUUCAAAGUGAAUUAAGGUAGAAGAAGAAGAAGACAGAUGAAUAAGAAAUAGCAAAGAGGAAGGAAAGGAAAGAAACAUAAAUGUUAAAAGGAAUCAGUAAAUGAAUACAUACAUUCUCUUACCAUUUAAAUAUUAAAAAAAGUUGUCCGUCAUUAAUUUUACUAGAAAACAAGUGGCAGCACCAAUUGUGGUCCAUCAUUCCAAUUCCAACGUGUGGUAGUGGUGGCCACACCAAUUAAUUUUCUAUACUGCGUAUAUAAUUGAGUAUUGUAUAAAUUUGUGGUAAAAUAAUUUUAAUAUUUUGAAUAUAUCAUAAUUAAUAUAAAAUUAUUUCUAUCAAAACCACUAUUAUAUAAUAAUAAUAUUUUAACAAUUUUAAAUUUGCUAUCUCCGCUUAAAAUAUUAAUAGAUCAUAAAAGUUUAUUAUAAAGUGAUAUAAAUAUAUCAUCACUUAAAGAAUUUUACCAAUACCAAAAAUAUUCUAGAAGGGUACUAAAUUAUAUUUCUACCAAAUACCAAAUUAAAUUAAAUAAUCCAUGAUAUAUUUAGAUAGUACUAAAAUUAUAUAAAAAUACAGGAAAAUGACCGUAAGGGUCAUUACAACAUUCCCUACUAAAAGGACUUUCGUCCGCGAAAGUAAAAGAUAAGGAAAAUACCUGAAGGGUCAAAUAGGUAGGGAUACUGUGCGCGCAUAUCACGCCUGGGAAGAAGGCCUGGUAAGUCAGACAAAACCACCUCGAGAAACUCACAAACUAAAGGGACGGAUUCUAGCGAUAGACUCUCAUCACUAACAUCUCAAAAAUAUGCAAGAAAUGACUUACAACCCCUCGAUAUCAUUCUCCUAGCAUGAAUAUACGAAAUAAUCACCAUCGGUGUGCGGCUAACAGAAUCCUACCACACAACUGGGGGUAUACCAUGCAAAGCUAAAGUAACGGUCUUAGAAAAAUAACCCAAGACAGCAUGGUAAGGAGAUAUCUAAUCCAUGCUUAGAAUCACAUCAAAAUCUACCAUAUCUGGGACAAUGAGGUUAAUAUGAGUAUCAAACUCGCCAAACACAAUGUAUAAAUCGAUCCACUAUUAAAGAAUCACCCACAGGGAUAGCCAUAUGCAAUGUCACAGAUAAAGACUCCGAACAUGAACCCAACCGUGAUGCAAAAUAAAUAAAAACAUAUGAAAAAGGUGAAAUCGAGGUCAAAUAAAGCAAAAACUGUCUGGUGGCAUACAACAACCUUACCUGUGAUCAAAGCAUCUGAAGUCUCAGCCCUUGAUCUACCUGGUACAGCAUGGUUUACAGUUUCUCACAUUAUUGUAUUGUUCCUCAACGUAAUUACAAAAGGGAGAACAAAGCUAUUCAUCUACUCUGUCCUAUAAAUCUGGAGUAUGCCAGAAUAUCAUUAGAAACAUAUAUCAUGUUUGUGAACUAGAAACUUGCAUCUUAUAAAUUUGUGAAUAGGUUGAAUCAACAAAUACUAAUAGAGUUUCCUCAAACCCAGCUUAAGAAAGUUAUAAAAAGUAAAACCUUUUCACAUUUAAACCUAUAACAUUAGGUGAAAGAACGUAAUUACAACCAUUAUAAACAUCUAUUAAUGGUAUUAUGAGAAAAUUUUAAAGAAUGAUAGCAAACAUUCACAUGUGCCUCCCCAGUCUAAGGUAUAUCCAUUGGCGGGGAUAGGGUGAAAGGAUUUAGACAUAAACCUUUUUUCUCAUUUCAUAUUUCAACAUUCAGAUUUUAUCAACGUCAUCUUUAAUUCAAAGAGAGCCAAACGUCCCCAAAAGUAUGGCAUGUAUUUAGAAAAAAAACAAGCAAUGCAGAUAUACGAAGAUAGUUGCUAGCACUAACUGAACUAGACAUAUCUGUUUGAAAACAAGCAAAUAAUGGAUGAACAAUCUUUAUUAAACAACUCCAUUUAUAUUCUCAAAAUUACUGAAAGGCCUAACAACUCAAGACAAUCUCUACUUUCAUGAUACUUUUCAUGCUUUCUCCUAAGAAAAUACGAAAUAUAGAGCAACUCAAAUGUCUACUCAAGAAGCAUACAGGUCAGACCCCUAAUCCACAGCUCAAGAAAUUGCCAUUUGCAUCAAAACCUUGCAUUUUCCUUUAUUCAAUUUUUGUUGAUUAAUGAAUGAAAAUCUGAUGUCAAAUUAUCUAGUAAUGGCAGGUUGAUUUGCACUUCUUUUUAUUCCAUGUAUUUCAAUGUACAUAUGCGAGCACCCAUCUGCUCCAGACUAGUGGACAUCUUUUCCCAGUGUGCUAGUAUUGUUGUGGAAGCUCCUCGAGGAUUUCACUAGGCGAACAUAAACUGAAUUGGACGCUACCAUCUUAAAAGAUUAAAAAAAAUGUUCGCACAAAUAAGAAGAUCUUUUAUUGUGUAUUAGGAAGACCCCUAGGGCCUAGGUGAAGUUUAAGCAAAAUGAAAAAUCUGAACCAAUGAAGACCAAAAAGUAAGAACAACAAUAAGGUAAUCACACUUCUUAAGAACAACAAUAAGGUAAUCACACUUCUUGCUUUAGUUACUUCAUUUCAAAAAUUACUACUACAUGUUGAGGAUUAAUUUAAAUAACCAAAUAGGUAAACAUCAACAAAUUUCAACAACAUACCCGGUGUAUUCCCACAAGAGAGUCUAGACUCCAGGGAUAGUAGUGUGCAUUUAGACACUACCCCUACGUUGGGAGGUAGAGAGGUUGGUGCCAUAGACCCUUGGCUAGAAAUUAACAAAUAGAUCUCCUCCGAAAAACAAGUAUUAACUAAAAUUGGAGUCUUUUUUUCCAUCAUAUGGCACAAAUUUAGCACAUUCAGCAACUAAUAUAGACGGACUGACCCCUUUCAAAUAUUUGAAGUGAGGCCUGAACUGGUCGACUAGGCUGACCCUGAUGCUGAGAAGGUUGCUGAUGAGGGUACCUACCAUGAAAUCCUCGGCCUGAGAACUGUGAACCAUUGUAACUGCCCUGGUAGCGUGGUCUCUUAUCGCUGCCCCCUUGGUCCUCACAAUCCAACUCCUCUAUGGAAUAAACAUGUUCGACUAUCUCCAAAAAAAACUUCUUCAAAGUCACCAAACUCUGUGUAGCCCUACGGAGUGACAAUCUCAAUCCCCCGACAAAGCAUCGAAUCCGCUCGUACUUUGUAUCCAGAUUCAUAAUGGCGUGUCUGGCUAACUCAUGUAUUCUCGCCUCAUACUCAGCUACAGUUAUAAAACCCUGUCUCAAUGCGGUAAACCCAUCUCAUAGAACCUCACGUAUGCUACGAGGCAUAUACUUCCCCAAGAAAUCCUCAGAGAACUGAGUCCAAGUCACUGGUGGAGAUCCCGCUGGCCUGGAAUUAAGAUAACCUCUCUACCACCUCCUCGCUAUCGUAUCGAACAGAUAAGAAAUAAUGUCUACUCCUCGCACCUCAACUAUCCCUAAAUUUCGUAACCGCUCCUCGCAAUUGGACAGGAACUUAUGAGCAUCCUCUCCCGAGGUCCUGGAAAACCUGGGUGGAGUUAAUCUAAAAAAUCGAUCCAAUAUCUUUUGCUCCUCUAAAGACAUAAGUGGCUAGGCUACUGUCGGUUGUGGGACUACUGGUGCUAGCGGAAUUAAGAAACAAUAUCUACUCCUCGCGCCUCAACUAUCCCUAAAUUCUGCAACCGCUCCUCGCAAUUGGACAGGAACUUAUGAGCAUCCUCUCCCGAGGUCCUGGAAAACCUGGGUGCAGUCAAUCUCAAAAAUCGAUCCAAUAUCUUUUGCUCCUCUGAAGACAUAAGUGGCUGGGCUACUGUCAGUUGUGGGACUACUGGUGCUAGCGGAAUUCUACCCUAGCUGUGCCACUAAAUCAACACCACCCUGUGUGGUUGGCUGAGCUUCCACGGCCGGUGGACCGCCAGCUAAUUGCAAUAACUAUACUAAUGUAUCCCAAAGAAUUGACGAAGAUAUAAAGCUGGGUGGAUCCUGGGCUGCCCCCUGGCCCACCUGCUGAUGUGGAGGAAUACCUGGAGCUCUCUCAAUCCUCGGAGCUAUAACAAGAUCAGGUGAUAGAUCCCUAGCCUAAUCUCAAAUAGGGGCUGCUGCUCUCAAACCUCGUGUCCUAGCCAUCUGCUAGAAAGUGAACCAAUGAAAAAAAAUUACGACCAACCCAGACUCAACGCACAAAAAUGAGAUUUUUCCCUAAAAGUGCUUUGUAGCCACCCAAGGAUAGAGUAAAUACGUCUCCGUACCAAUUUUAGCGAAAUAUAAAACCAAAAGAAAGUUCGGGUCUUUCAAAAUGCAAAAAAUGCAUAAGAAUAAAGCUGAAGGAGAUUUCAGUAGUCUCUAGGCCAGUAGCAGCUACCUCAAAUCUUCAAUGAUGCUAGCAACGAAGGAACCACAGGAACAAUAUCCAGAGUUCGUCAGAUUUAUACUUGCAUGUAGGGUGCAGAAAAAGCAAGAGUGAGUAUGGAACCACAUGUACUCAGCAAGCUUCGUAGAACAACCCUAAUUCAAAGUGGUGACGAGUGACACUACAUAAAAUAUUUAAACACAAAACACAUAACCUGCUGUCAUGACCCGAUUUCUAAAGCCGUGAUGGCGCCUACUUUAAGCCACCAGCAGGCAAGCCAGGCCAUAGUCCAGAAUGAUAGAAAAUGGGACUAACAGGUAGAGACCAAAUAAAAGAUCAUGUAUAAAGAUAAUAACAACAAUAAUAAG